RNAcentral lists this long non-coding RNA (77546 nucleotides) under Malus domestica (apple). RNAcentral describes it as "long non-coding RNA (MDOM_LNC007282)". Lineage: Eukaryota; Viridiplantae; Streptophyta; Magnoliopsida; Rosales; Rosaceae. The record is from RNAcentral.
UUGAAGUCAAAGUUAACUUCUCGCUGGCAAAGAAGCCGAUUGUGAAGGAGCGGUCUCCAUACUGUUGGCCGUAAACACAGGUGGAGGCGGAACAAUCGCUGGGGACACCGGAGGCUGCAAGUUGAGAACACGCGGCGGAGUUGCAGGAGAUGUUGGAGUAAGAGGUAGAGAGAGAAGGGUCGAAGAUGGGAUCUUUCUGUUUGUAACAAGAUACAGAACAUGGUCGGCACUGUGUCCAAGUGAGACUGCUGCCGGUGUCGAAUACAAGCGAGAGUUGCUUCUGGGGCGAGCCCAAGCCGACACUGACGAUGUAGUUUCCAGAACCAAGUACGCUGGCAGACUGGGCGGGAAUCACGGUGGCUUCUGAUUGUGCAAGUGGGUCGGGGAUUCUGUAAUUACGGUUUGAGUCGUUGAAAUGGGAGUGGAUUGAGUUGACUCGGGCUUCGUCUUGCUUGAGGAUUUGUAUGUGAUAUUCAUCUUGAUCGGAAGGGUUACUGUUUGAUUUGACUUGGUGGACUUGGUUGCAUGGGCCGUAUUUGUGGACCACUUUCAGUACGGAUGCCGCCUUAUUGUCAUAACCUGAAUUGAGAAAUGUAUAGGUUUGUCGUUAGAUACAAUUUUUUUUUAACAAACGAUAUUAUCUACAUACUUACAUGGUGCCAAUUACUUUUAUGAAGUACAAUAUAUAUAAGUGUGUGUGUGUGUGUGGUGACACGAGUUGUUUUUACACAUGCUUUUAUGGAGCCUAUUCGUAAUGUAUUUCAAUGAUCUGAACUGUUUAUCUUUUAUGUUUCCCCUCAAAGAUCUUGUUUGCCAAAAAUAACCUAGAUCUAAAAUCAUAUGACUGUUGGAUUAACGAUUUAGGUUUUUUUUUUUUUUUUUUUUUUUUUUUCGUAAAACCAUAUUUGUCAAUUUUCUUCACUAAAAGAUAGACGGUUCAUAUCGUUAAAAUACAUGACGGAAUGGGUACAAAAUUAAAAAUAGAAACAUAUGAUACAAAUUUUACCCAUAAAUAUAAACAUACCAAAUGUAACACUUAUGACACUAAAUAGAUUUAUUUGGAAAAUUAAACUUAAAUAUGCUGACAUGUAAUUAUUUCAUUACUAAAAUAAUGACAUAGAUAAAAAUAAAAAUAAAAUAAGAUUUCAAUCGAUGGAAUAGAAAAAUGAGGGAUUUAAACCUAAUUUUUCUAUUAAAAUAUUUCCAUGAACUUGGCACUCAUUCAACACAAUGCAUGCAAUGAUCCAUAUAUAAAGCAAGUAGAAUACGCUUCAUUGAGAUUGAAAAGACAACAUAUGCGUGCAUGGAUAGAGGAGUUAGCUAGAGAGAGAUAUGGGAUCGACCAUUGGUGGAGGGUCUGCAGGUGUUUGCUGGUAGAAGAGAGAUGACUUCAACUGUGUAAGUACGUGAAAGGAGGUUUGUUUUUGUAUCUCUUACUGCCAAAGAGCAGAGAAUUAGGCAUAGAAAUGCUGAUAAACCAAUGGAAAAUCUAAGGAAGGAGGAGGAGCUAGAAAUGGGAGUUGCCAUGAUAGCAGAUUAGCAAGUCUUCUUGCUAUUUCCUCUAGAUUAUGUUGCUCCUGUAAGCAUACGAUCUCAACCUUAUAUACUAAUUGGAAAUUGGAAGACAUGCAGGGAUGGCCACCGUGUUGUCGGGUUUAAUUAUUUUUCUAUUGAAAAGUACAUUGAUCAAUUGGUAAUUACCUACCACCACUCAACUCGUCAAAGUCCAUAGAGACCAUAUAUACACCAACGUUCUCAACACGUUCAAGUCCACUAUAUUACUUCGUUGCAUUCCUCAAGGGACUGUUAGAGAAUAUUACUCGAGUUCAUCCGAUUGUGAUUAAGAAAUCUCGUUAAACAAAUGUUAUUGACAUGCCCCAACUUCGAUAUCCCCAAAUACCAGAAUGGACACAUGUUGGCCGACACUCGAGUGUGACGAAGCCAUAAUGAUACGCAUGCAAGUUAUAAAAGAAGAACGAAUGUAAAUAAAAAUAGGUAAAUUUAAAAUAUAAUGGAAUGUGGAAAUGCAGGAACAUGUUUAGAGUAUACAUCUAAUCAAGAAUAAUGUGAAAGAAUUAUUAUACAAAGGUACAAAUAAAGGAAUGGGUUCUACGCUGAGAAGACUCGAAGAUACCCAUGUGAAAGUGCCCUGACGCCAGGAUCGUACGCCUCGAUUCUAAAUCCUAAAGGGAGCUGUUUGGGCCCAAAAUAAUAGUUUGGGCCGAGGGCAGGAUCACUCUCGGCCUAGGAAGCCGUGCGGCGAAAGGAUUAUGGAUCGGUCAGCUCAUGGGCUUCCAAGCCCAGGUCAGUUAAAUCAGAACGCAAGUCGAGUCCUAGUAUAAUCAGGACUCUCGACGAGAUCAGUAGUCUGGAAGGCGAAUCUGGUUCAGUUAAGGACCAAAUUCGUAGUCCUAGUGGAGAUAGGACUGGUCGAGGUGAUGUUAAUCCGGAGAAGGAAACAUAGUCCGAUUAGGAUUGUAACUCGGGCUCGGUGUUCCGCUACUAUAAAUACAAGACAUUCAGCGACGGAAAAAAGUCCCCUGCAAAUCAAUACAAAAUUGCCCUGCGCAAACUCUCACAACUUGAGAUCUUUUCUUUUUCCUUUUUUCGCUGACACAUCUUCCGUUGGCAUCAACAGCACUGUGGAAGCAACCGGUGAUAUCUUAAGUCGGCAUAGAUAGCUCUGUCACCGUAGAGUCAGUCGGUCUUGCAGUAUCUUCCGUUGGCAUCAACAGCACUGCGGCGAGAACGAUUGAUUACCUAUCCAAGUCUCGGUCGAGAAGGGUUUCUGAAUCCUUAUUGGUCGAGGUCAUCUCAUUAGCCUUUUCGGCGAAGUGAGGUGUUACAGUUAUUAUAUUCGGCACGUUGAAAGCCGAAUUCGGUUCGUGAACUUCGUAAGAAUAGCAGCCUUGUCUUCAGGCUCGAGAACCCAAGAGGCCGAGACGUGUUCCUUUCUCGGCCGCAAUCGCAAGACGCAGAAGUCAGUAGCGCGACCCAACGCAACAUCAACAAAUUUACUCCUCGGCCGAGCUCGGCCGACGAGUUGGCACGCCCCGCAUUCAUCGAAGGACGUAGUUAGCUCAUUAAUUACUCGGCCUGCGCGCCACGUAGGCUUGGUAGUUUUUAGGGUCAACCUGAGCGUAAAACAAAGGGUGAGUGGACCAAAGUGUAUAAUGCUAAUACUAAUAAUAGUAAACCAUUUUCUUUCUGAACAUAUUAACCCAUUGUUCUGAAAACUCAAAUAGUACUACAUAAUAGGUUUUAUGAAAACUCUAGCAUGUCAUGAAAACGUUCAUAAAACAUGUACUAUAAACCAGUGCUCAGUAAUGGUAUCAUAGUCACCCGAAGUCAAAUCCAUAAAACCUUCGAAAAUCCAAAAUAGUAAAGUACUCAACUAGGGGUAUCAUAGUCGCUCAAAGGUAUAACCAUCACCUGAAGGUGAAGCUGUAAGAAAUAUAACAUAACACAUCGACACUAGCCGUGGCUAGUGAAGCUGUCUGACAUUGGUUUCAUCAAUGAUGCUGGGAUUAUGUCAUAAAUAUCCUCAACUCUAUCCUAUGGCCUUAGGUGACUACAUACGCGUGUUGUGUGUAUGUGCUGUAUGAUAACCCAUUAGAUAAGCACAAAAAAUGUAUCUCAAAAUCUCAUAACAAAUCACCGGAGCUAAAAUACUCAAAGCAUCAAUUCAUAAACCAUGAUAAUUCAUAUCGUUUCAUAAAAUGUAAAUUCAAUAAAUCGUAAAUAAAUCAUAAAACAUACAAUCAUGAAAUCAUGCUUUUCGUGAAUGCAACCCUAAUAUUUUAUAAAACAUGCAAAUUAAGAAGACACUCACAAAUAUUCUGUUGGCGGGGAGUCGCUCGAACUAGAAAGGACGGGGCCACUUCCAACCGACACACCUAAAUACAAAUAAAGAGCAUUUAAUAAAAUUCUACUAAAACAUUAGAAUUUGGAAAAACAGAUAGCGGAUUCGGAUUUGGCACGUUGAAAAACCUAAGGAGGGACCUUGGGUUCCCCUACGUGCCACCACUGAGCGGCGGCCCGAAAUGCCACCUGCCACCACACAUGCCGCCACGAAGCAGUGGCCUGGAAGGACACGCACCACCGCACUCGUAGCACGUGCUAAUAUGGUAGCUGAAAAAUUCGCCUACACCGUCAUGGAUGGUGGCUGAGCACAGUACCUCCGACGGAGGCAUGUAUGCUCCACACACCGACUAUGGCAAUCCUCCACGGGCACCCAUGCGUGGCCUACGCUUCAACUAAGGAAUCUGGGAAUUGGGUCUAGGUCGUGUCGGAUCUGGGCUUUAGGUUCCUGGGUCGGGUCUGAUCCGGAUCGAAUCUAGGCUUUGGGUUACUGGGUUGGAUCUAGGCUAGGGUUAAUGGGCCAAACAUUUGGGUUGCAUGGCCCAAAUGUUUGGGUUGGGUUAUCGGUUGUAGGUAGAGUUUAACUCGAUUUCAGGCCGUGGGUCAACCAGAUUCCACAAAGAAGAAAGCCGGAGCUUGGAAAGCUUCGAUCAUCCCCAAGACUCAACUGAAACUAGUCAUUCAAUAUACCAAAUUGAAGUCCAAAGAACAAGGAGUUGAAAUAUACCUUUGGUUUCCUCGACCGUGGCCGGAGUUGGCCGGAAAAUGGCUUGGAAGUUCAAGUUCUCAUCGAAAAACUAGGGAAGUCUCCCCGAGCUGAUUUCAUGUUUAAACUUUCACCAAAAUCAUUUUUAUUCAACCAUUGAAUACUCUAGACCACGUGGGAAGAACAUCAAAGGGUGGUUCGUGACUUAUCUUUGUCGAGGACGGCAAUAACUCAUCGGGAAAGGUUUGCAUAGUAAAAGCACUUGCUGUGCAGUGGAAAAGAUUGAGGAGAAGGGGGUGAUCUCGUCUUGUGCUCGCUGAAGUGGGAUGGUGGUUAAGGUCCAAAUGUAUGUGGGUGUGAGUGUGUGAGGGUGUGCUCGGCAAUGGAGAAGGAAAGAGUUGCAAAGAUGGGGGAGAGACAAGGAGAGAAAGAGAGAGUUCUAAAGAGUCAUUGGGAAGAGAAAUGAGAGAAAAAAGAGGGAAAAGAAAGAGAGGGCAGGGAGACAACAAAAUAGGGGUGGGCCCCACUGGUACACCAACCAAAGUGAGAAAAUUUGAAAUGAGAAAAUAUCUCGCGGGACAUAAAAUUACCAAGAUGCCCUACUGUUCCAAAUUUUGUAAAAUUCACGUUUUAGCUUCAAAUUCAAUUCCACUUGCCCCCAUGCGUUCGUAGCGACGCAUGCUAUAAGGAUAUGCCAAAGAAACGAAUCUCAAGUGACACAACAAGGCGGUUAACAAAAGUCAACGUUUUUCACCUCGGAUGGCAUUUUCGUAAAUUCACGAUUUAAAAUUAUAAAAACCCUAAAAUUGGGGACUAGUUAUCACAGUUAUAAUUGAAAUUGUUUAUUUUUUUAAUUAAAAAUUUUGCUACAUUGAAGAGUUUCAAACAAUAAAUCUAAAUUACUCUUACCUAUAAACAUAGACCUGCCCACACCACUAGUUUUCUUAAUCAUAGUUUAAAUAUUUAUCAUCUCUAAAAAUAAUAAUAAUAAUAAGAGAACAUUUGUAGUUCACAAUGAAAUUUUUGAAGUGCUAAAUUAGCACUCAUUCAUUAUUUCAACCAAGUUUUAAUAUUAAUAAAAGUAGUAGAUGGCACUUUAUUGCGUAGAGGUGGGUUAGAAAAACCAAAAAUCGAAAAAAAAGGAUUGAAAACCGAACUGUAAUCGAAAAAAAUUGAACCAAAAGUACAAAACCGAAUCGAACCCCUUUAGCCACUAAUUAUUCAAUAUGCCAAUCCCUUUGUUCACACCACCACCUCCCAUGGAUCAGGAAAUGCGUUUGCUCCGACUCAGGUGUUCGCACCGCCACCUCCCAUGAAUUUGUCCUCGGUGGCUUUGUUGCCUCCAGUGACCUUUUUCUUGGUGGGUCAUCUUUCACUAGCUUUCUUUGGUUUGUGGUUGUUGUUUUGAUCUACAUGGUGCUUUGUGGAGGUUGUUGGAGUUGUCUUUUCCAUCAUUUUUGUGGAUUUGGUUGGCUGUUUGGAAUUCUAAUUCUCGGCAAUGCAUUGCUUCUACUGCAGCAGUUCAAGAAGGAUUGUAGUGUCUUUGUUUGGUUUUUUCUGUUCUGGGCUCAAAACUUUGUUUUGGGGUUCCAUAUCUUUUUUUCCUGUUUUUUUUUUUUUUUUUUUUUUUUUUUGUAACUAGAUGUCUUUUCUUUGUAAUUUGGUGUGUUGUUAGUAAUAAAUUUACCUUUUAUAAAAGAAAACGUAUUAUUCAUGAUAAUUACUGUUACUUAUCCAUGAAUACUAGUUUCAAGUAACUUUUCAUACCAUGGUUGGUUAUAAAUAUAUAUGAAUCACACAUUCAUUCAUACAAUAAUUGAAUGUGGUGCAAAAGGGAAGUUAAUAAUGGUAAAGGCAAUCAAUGGUUCAAAUUUUUGAGUGAGAUAGUAAUGCAUCACGUCAUGUUAACAGUUUAGAAUUCAUGUAAUAAUACAUGUUAUAACUAUUACUAAUAUAUAUACAUAAAUUUGUCCUUGAUCAUUGUCAUAUUAUAACUAUUCGACAUGGCUUGCUAGUGCUGCUAUUAUGGUGGACUCUUGAAGUCUAUAAAGCAUGGUGGAGUGCUGGCUUAGGCAUUAGUGAGAGCUUGACCCACCUAAUUCAUCGACAUUUUCUUUCUUUUCUUUUUCCUCCAUCUUUUUAAUUUCUCUUUGCCUUUCCGAGACAUUUACGAGUGACAAAAAGGUAAACAUGAACGACUUUUGCCUCGUCGUGUACAAGGGGAGAUGCAAAGUUUGAGUUUUGUUGACCAGCUGCGUUUUUGGUAAAAAUUAACGACUUUUGACUCGUGCUUGGUCUACCUCGAAGAAUUGUGUGUAACAUUCAUGAUGAUCUGUAGCGGUUUUGGUUUUUUUGGUUGGGUUCGUGGCAAUGGCCAUGCAUGUGCACCACUAGUUCUGAUGCAUGUUUCUUUUUGUUGUGACCUGAAUUAGUGAAUCAAUUUCCAAACCUCUGUCAUCAAUUUCAAAACUUAAGCCAUCAAUUUCAAUUCCCGUUUCCCAUCCUCCACAUCCAUGGUUUCAUUCCUUACUUCUCCUACCCUUCCCAAGUGGCUCCGGGUUUCCUCGACCCCAUAUAUUUGCAGAUCUUCAGUCACUCUCCUCCAUCGCGUUUUGACGUGAUUCUCUCAGGAAGUGCAUACCUCUCUAAGAGGAUUUUUGUCAAACUAACCACUUCACUUAAUAAGGAUAUUGACAUAUUUUUCACAGAAUGAUCAAAAUGUUUACGGUGGACAAACUCAAGGACCACUUUCAUCAAUUUUCAUUAUCAGAGAACAAAGUGAAGAGUUAUGCCAAUUUCAUGAAACAUUUUAGUGAAAAAGCCUAGAACAAAAUAAACCUAGGAUCCCCCAUAGCCACUAAUUAUUCAAUAUGCCAAUCCCUUUGUUCACACCACCACCUCCCAUGGAUCAAGAAAUGCGUUUUGCUUCGACUCAGGUGUUCACACCGCCAUCUCCCAUGAAUUUAUCUUGGGUGGCUUCGUUGCCUCUGGUGACCUUGUUGUUGGUGGGUCAUCUUUCACUGGCUUUCUUUGGUUUGUGGUUGUUGUUUUGAUCUACAUGUUGCUUUGCGGAGGUUGUUGGAGUCGUCUUUUCCAUCAUUUUUGAGGAUUUGGUUGGUUGUUUGGAAUUCUGUUUCUCAGCAAUGCUUUGCUUCUGCAGUAGCAGUUCAAGCAGGAUUGUAUGGUCUUUGUUUGGUUUUCUGUUCUGGGCUCAAAACUUUGUUUUGGGGGUCCAUAUCUUUUUUUCCUGCUUUUUUUUUUUUGGUAAUAACUAGACGUCUUUUCUUCGUAAUUUGGUGUACUGUUAGUAAUAAAUUUACCUUUUAUAAAGCAAAACGUAUUAUUCAUGAUAAUUACUGUUACUUAUCCAUGAAUACUAGUUUCAAAUAACUUUUUCAUACCUUUGUUGGUUAUAAAUAUAUGUGAAUCACACAUUCAUUCAUACAAUAAUUGAAUGUGGUGCAAAAGGGAAGUUAAUAAUGGUAAAGGUAAUCAAUGGUUCAAAUUUUUGAGUGAGAUAGUAAUGCGUUACAUCGUAUUAACAGUUUAGAAUUCAUGUAAUAAUCGUGUUAUAACUAUUAAUAAUAUUUAUACAUAAAUUUGUCAUUGAUAAAUGUCAUAUUAUAGCUAUUUGACAUGGCUUGAUAGUGCUGCUAUUAUAAUGCUUACUACAUAAUGAUGUCAGUGGAGGACAUCCAUGCAUGCUGGAACUGCAGGAAUAUGGAAUCGUGAAUUUUAAUUCAAGUGGUAAUUAGCAAGUCAAUGGCGGUCCACUCUAACUUUGACAUUUAAGUCGUUGUCUUACGCUAAUUACUAAAAUGAGUUUAAUUAGGUCUGUCUUAUCAGUUCAAACAACCCAAAAAAUUCCAAACCCAAAAGAAAAAUCAAACCAAUACUUGACAAAUCAAACCAAUACUUGUGUAGUAUUUUGCAGACAGAGACAGAUUUGGAAAAGAUAUGUAUGGCCGAGAGAAAGCAAUUCCUGUCAAAUAUCGUUGAUCAAGUUUUCCAAGCUAGAAACUACGUAGCACGUACGCUUAUUUCCUGGUUGCACAUUUAGAUGUCCCUUUUACAAGUCAAUACUAAUUAAGUCAUCACCUCGAUUACAAAAUCAUAAUAUUUGGGCAACGACUCAUACUCUAAACAUCAUACUAGUAAUCACUUUCAACCUCAUGCCAUACGCUAUACGUAUUAUAUGUCACAUAAUUGGUAUUAAAAUGGGAAGCCCACGAUUUUACCGGACCUAGAAUCGUGGUAAGUGACUAAAUCAAAACAGAAAACAAACUUGUCCCUCAAGUAUAGGAGGGUUAUUAGCACGACCUGAAAUAAAACCCUAAAAACAAGGAACCCUAUCAACUAGGAAAUCCCAACAACUUCAACAAUAAAUCAUUGGCAACCAGCAGGUGCAAAUCCAACCUUUCCACCAGCAACGUCAUACACUACCUGCAACCUCUUCUGUUGAACGUUCCCAAUAAUCCCAACACUACUAUCAUCUUUGUUUCCGGCAAACGCCAAGCAAAACUGCGAAGCACUCUGCUGGAAUAAUAUUCCUGUUGCGUCCACGUCUACCGUAACCCCAUUGCCAAACACAAACCCUAUCGUUGGAAAGGUUAUCGUUUUGAAUCCACUGAAGUCGUAACACGUGUCCAGCAGGGAAGAAAUCGACUUAGCAGUUGGGUAUCUCUUCAUCACUUCUCGAAAUGCGUCCCGCAGCGCUGUGUACGCUGUGGCUGGGAGGCGAGUGAUGACCGUCCCCGAGUCGAUGAUUGUCCCCGAAAUCGAAAAUACUGAAGCCGAAAUUGGCAGUUGACUCCCACCGAUGUUGAUGCCGACCAGUCCGAGGCUGUAAUACGACGCGCCUUGAGAUAAUGUGGUGAGCGGCGUGAACUUGACGGCGUUACCUGAACUUCUGUUGUCGGAGUUACCUAAACUGAGGUAACCAGUGGAGCUUGAAGUGGAAGGGAGGCAGUAGGAGAAGAAUCUCUUGUACUUCUGAGCGGUUUGUUCAACAAGGGAGAUCUUGCUUCGACCGAGACCGAGCAAACCGGCGAUGCCCCUAAAUAAGCCUUGGUUAUUCUGGCCGCAGCCGAAGACGAAACCAGUAAAAACAUCUGUUGAAGUCAAAGUUAACUUCUCGCUGGCAAAGAAGCCGAUUGUGAAGGAGCGGUCUCCAUACUGUUGGCCGUAUACACAGGUGGAGGCGGAACAACCGCUAGCGACACCGGAGGCUGCAAGUUGAGAACACGCGGGGGAGUUGCAGGAGAUGUUGGAGUAAGAGGUAGAGAGAGAAGGGUCGAAGAUGGGAUCUUUCUGUUUGUAACAAGAUACAGAACAUGGUCGGCACUGUGUCCAAGUGAGACUGCUGCCGGUGUCGAAUACAAGCGAGAGUUGCUUCUGGGGCGAGCCCAAGCCGACACUGACGAUGUAGUUUCCGGAACCAAGUACGCUGGCAGACUGGGCGGGAAUCACGGUGGCGUCUGAUUGUGCAAGUGGGUCGGGGAUUCUGUAAUUACGGUUUGAGUCGCUGAAAUGGGAGUGGAUUGAGUUGACUCGGGCUUCGUCUUGCUUGAGGAUUUGUAUGUGAUAUUCAUCUUGAUCGGAAGGGUUAGUGUUUGAUUUGACUUGGUGGACUUGGUUGCAUGGGCCGUAUUUGUGGACCACCUUCAGUACGGAUGCGUCAUGACCUGAAUUGAGAAAUGUAUAGGUUUGUCAUUACAUAUAAUUUUUUUUAACAAACGAUAUUAUCUACAUACUUAUUUGGUCCCAAUUACUUUUAUGAAGUACAAUAUAUAUAUGGUAACACGAGUUGUUUUUACACAUGCUUUUAUGGAGCCCAUUCGUAAUGUAUUUUAAUUAUCUGAACUGUUUAUCUUUUAUGUCUCCCCUCAAAGAUCUUGUCGGCCAAAAAUGACCCAGAUCUAAAAUCAUAUGACCGUUGGAUUAACGAUUUAGGUUUUUUUUUUGUUUUUUUUUGUAAAACCGUAUUCGUCAAUUUUUUUCACUAAAAGAUAACUGUUUCGUUAAAAUACAUGACGGAAUGGGUACAAAAUUAAAAAUAGAAACAUAUUAUACAAAUUUUACCCAUAAAUAUAAACAUACCAAAAUGUAACACAUUUAUGACACUAAAUAGAUUUAUUUGAAAAAUUAAACUUAAAUAUGCUGACAUGUAAAUAUUUCAUUACUAAAAUACUGACAUGGAUAAAAAUAAAAAUAAAAACUUGAUCAAAAAAUAAAAUAAAAUAAGAUUUCAAUCGAUGGAAUAGAAAAAUGAGGGAUUAAAACCUAAUUUUUCUAUUAAAAUAUUUCCAUGCACUUGGCACUCAUUCAACACGAUGCAUGCAAUGAUCCAUAUAUAAAGCAAGUAGAAUAUGCUUCAUUGAGAUUGAAAAGACAACAUAUGCGUGCAGGGGUAGAGGAGUUAGCUAGAGAGAGAUAUGGGAUCAACCAUUGGUGGAGGGUCUGCAGGUGUUUGCUGGUAGAAGAGAGAUGACUUCAACUGUGUAAGUACGUGAAAGGAGGUUGGUUUUUGUAUCUCUUACUGCCAAAGAACAGAGAAUUAGGCAUAGAAAUGCUGAUAAACCAAUGGAAAAUCUAAGGGAGGAGGAGGAGCUAGAAAUGGGAGUUGCCAUGAUAGCAGAUUAGCAAGUCUUCUUGCUAUUUCCUCUAGAUUAUGUUGCUCCUGUAAGCAUACGAUCUCAACCUUAUAUGCUAAUUGGAAAUUUGGAAGACAUGCAGGGAUGGCGCCUGUGUUAUCGGGUUUAAUUAUUUUUCUGUUGAAAAGUACAUAGCAUCAAUUGGUAAUUACCCACCACCAUUCAACUAGUCAAAGUCCAUGGAGACCAUAUAUACACCAACGUUCUCAACACGUUCAAGUCCACUAUAAUACUUCGUUGCAUUCCUCAAAGGAAUAUUAGAGAAUAUUACUCGAGUUCAUCCGAUUGUGAUUAAGAAAUCUCGUUAAACAAGUGUUAUAAUUGAAAUUGUUUAUUUUUUAAUUAAAUUUUUUGUUACAUUGAUGAGUUUCAAACAAUAAAUCUAAAUUACUCCUACCUAUCAACCUUGGCCUGCCCACACCAUUAGUUUUCUUAAUCAUAUUUUAAAUAUGUAUCAUCUCUACCAAAAAAAAUAUAAUAAUAAGAGAAUAUUUGUAGUGUACAAUAAAAUUUUUGAAGUGCUAAAUUAGCACUCGUUCAUCAUUUCAACCAAUUUUUAAUAUUAAUAGAAGUCGUAGAUGGUGCUUUACUGCGUAAGGGUGGGUUGGAAAAACUAAAAACCAAAAAAAAUGGACUGAAAACUGACCCAUAACCGAAAAAAACCAAACCGAAAAAAAUUAAACCGAAAGUACAAAACUGAAUCGAACCGAAUAAAUUAUAAAUUAGUAUUUUUUUAUUUAAAUUAAAUUAUAUGUUAACAUCUUCUAAGCCCAAUUCCAAACAUUAGUUAGUUUCAGCACAAUCUACGGAAGCCCAACUUCAAGCCGAAAACAUAUCAAUAUUAUAAUUGUCAAUUCCCUAAAAGGAAACCCUAACCAUAUCACCCACAUGCUCUGACUCCUAUUGGAAGAAAUUUUUCGUAUAUCGAUAUAGACGAUGUGUAUAUCACGUGUCACUAUACAAAUGAUAAGAUAAAUGUGUUAAAAAGUUAAUAACUUAAAAAGUAAAAUUUCCUACUAUUUAUAUAAAAACACGUGGUAUACCCCGUGUACCGGUCACAAUGAAAAAUUUCUCGCCUAUUGGACCUAUUCCUUUUCUCUCCCGUUAUGCAAAUUCUUAGUCAACGCCUUCUGUGUAGUAUAUUAGGUGCGGCGGCAAUGGAAGAAAUUUGGGUAAUUGGGCUCCAAUCUAUUAAACUACAGAAAUAUAGUGAGAAGAAGAAGAGAUUCAAGCAAUUUAGAGAGAGAAGUAGAAACCAAACACUUCCAGUAUAUUACUUUUCUUACCUUCUAAGCAAUCCCACAUACAUCAGUAUUUAUACCCUUUUCAAUAUUCUAAACAAACUACCUAACUAACUUUCUAACUAACUCUCUAAUCUGCAUACAAGUGGCAGUAUCUCAGCCACACAAUAUAUGUCUAUCAUCCUCCCUCAAGCUCAUGUUUGGAUGAUCCUAACAUGAGAUUGUUACAAUGAAAAAGGAACAAUGAAGAACUGAGGCCUUUGGUCAAGAUAUCAGCAAACUGCUCCUUGGAGGACACAAACUGCACCACAAGCUUGUUCUGAGAAACCCGCUCUCGAACAAAAUGCACAUCAAUUUCAAUGUGUUUGGUCCGUUGAUGUUGGACAGGAUUGAAAGACAAGGCUAUAGCAGAAAGGUUGUCACAGUAUAAAACAGGAGGAGCGGACAUCGGAAAAUGCAGAAAAGCAAGGAUUUGUUGAAUCCAAUCAAGUUCUGCUGCAGUGGAGGAACAGCAGCACUCCCCUCCUUCUGCUCCACAUUUCCUCUUAUGUCAACUUUGCAAUUGUGGUGGUCAUUCUGCGCCUUUCUGUCCAUCCAAUUCUUCUGCGAAAUCCCGAUGUCAGAUUUGUGGCAGGUUUAAUCACAGUACAUGGUUCUGUUUUUACAAUGACAAGGGUCCCAACUAUAUUGGUGCUGGCAAUGGUUCUUAUCCACAACCAGGGCAUCCAUAUUCUCAGCAGGCUUCUUAUUCACAGCAAAGGUAUUCAUCACAGUUUCCUGCUCCACAACAAAUUCAGUCUCAGGCACCAAUGCAGGCUUUUCAUACUAUGGUGCCACAACCCUCUCCUCCAGCAGCAUCUUCAUCUCCUUCCCAAGUUUGGAUCACUGAUUCCGGGGCAACGAAUCAUAUGACUGCUGAUCUUUCCAAUCUGUCUCUAGCUUCACCCUAUCCCACUAAUGAAGUCAUACAAACUGCCAAUGGUGAAGGUUUGCCUGUAUCUCACAUUGGUAGUACUGUUAUAAAACCAUCUCUCCAUCCUAUAAAAUUGAAUUCUGUGUUAUAUGUUCCCAAAUUAACACAGAAUACCAUAUUAAACUACAGAAAUAUAGUGAGAAGAAGAAGAGAUUCAAGCAAUUUAGAGAGAGAAGUAGAAACCAAACACUUCCAGUAUAUUACUUUUCUUACCUUCUAAGCAAUCCCACAUACAUCAGUAUUUAUACCCUUUUCAAUAUUCUAAACAAACUACCUAACUAACUUUCUAACUAACUCUCUAAUCUGCAUACAAGUGGCAGUAUCUCAGCCACACAAUAUAUGUCUAUCACAAUCAAGUCUGUUGAUCCUGGAGAGGGCAAGCUCAGGACAAACUGGGAAGGUCUAUACAUGGUCAUUAGAGUAAGAGGCAAAAGAACAUACAACCUUACGCAGAUAGAUGGAACUCCAAUCCUUAAGAGGUUGAAUAUCGCCAAACUCCGAUGAUAUUAUUAAGAACCUCAAUGUCGUUCGUCUACCCGUAGAUAUGGAGAAACAACUCCAAAGCUUGCCUAAAUCAAGGCACAUUUGCCAAAGAUGAACCAUAAGGUAGACAGACAUUGUUUCAUCUUUCUUUAGAACUACACUAAUGAUUUGAUUUAGGUCUGCUGAAAUUAUGGUCGAGCGAAUUAUGGCUUGAGCGUACUCCACAUUUUGUAGUCUGCUUGAAUCAACAGUAACCGGUCGACGGUUCUAUAAUGGCCAGAGAUAAUAGGAGAUUGAAUUGACUGCCCAAUUUCGGUUGUCGUUGUGGCAGAUAAGUAUAUCUUUGGUAGGCACUGAGGCUGGCAUUACUAAAGCACUCGUUGGAAUACCAGAUGGAAUGAUUAUAGCGGAAUGAGGUCUAGUCAUUAUCACCUCAUUUAGAUUCGGAGUUGUGGCAUGCUGCUGUUACCAUUCCACUACCGCGCGGACUAUAUGUUUAGGAAUUUGAACGAAUCGCUCGCCGUCAUUUUCCGGCAUCUUUCUCUUCGUCUCCUCUCACCACUUCCAGUGGUUGCUGUUAUUGCUGUUGUGAUCGCAGCAUUGUUGGAGGUGGUUGUAACAACGAUGUGGUGGUUAUGACAAUGGUGGUGUGAGGUUAGUGGUUGUAGUGGUAGGUGGUGUUCGUCACCUUGAUCUCCAAAGAAAAAAAAUAUGUAGAAUGAUAAAUUAUGUCAUUUAAAAAAAAUUAAUGAAGGGUAUUAUAGGAAUUAAAACUAUUCAUUAAAGAUUUAGUUCCGUUUUUUACAAAAUUAUCUUUUAAAAGCAAUCUACAUGUUACUUUUAAAAACAAUCAACAAACUGUUUUUAAAAGCUAUUGUCUAGAAGUCAUUCUUUUAAAAUUAAUUAUGAUAUUUUAUUUUUAUCUAACAUUUUUUAUUUCUUAACUUUAAAGUGAAACAGUUUUUUAUAUAAAAAUAAUAAUAAUACCAAAAGGGCGCCUAAAACACUUAUUCUUUAGACAUUUGUAUGUAUUACCCACAUUGUUUACGUGUACUACAAUUAUACCCAUAAAGGAUCAUCAAUUCAUAAUGAGUAAUGUUAUGGAAACCAAAUUUUUUAAAUCAAAUUGCAAAUCAAAUGAUGUGUCACAAUAAGAAACAAGUAUAUUAAUCGACACUUAAUUAACAAUCCAAUCAUCUACAAUCAUGUCAUUUAGUUUGCAAAUUUAAUUUAAAAAAUUUGGUCUCUCUAGCAUUACUCAUUCAUAAUUGUUCAUUGAAUCGAUCAGGAGCAUCCAGCAGGGGCAAAUCCCACCUUUCACCUAGCAACGUCAUACACCAUAUGCAACCUCUUCUGCUAAACAUUCCCAAUAAUCCCAAUGUCUCUAUCAUCCCUGUUUCCUACAAAAGCCAAGCAAAACUGCGAAGCACUCUGUUGAAAAAAUAUGCCGGCAACGUCCACGUCCACCGUAACCCCGCCGCCAAACACAAAUCCUAUCUUUGGAUACGACACCGUUUGUGUUAAGAAUCCCACAUCGGUGGGGAUAAAGUCCCACAAUGGGUUUAAAUAUGAUUACCCAGCUCUGAUACCAUGUUGGAUUUUUGGAUCGCCCGGCCUGCCCCAUUCUAACGACACCGAUAUUAUCCCCAACUUUGCCAUCUGCCCAAUCCGUCAGGUGUGGGGUUUUACCACAAAAGGCCUUGGUAUUAGUUAGAGUUGGGUAAUCAAAUUUAAACCCAUUGUGGGACUUUAUCCCUAUGCCACUGAUGUGGGAUUCUUAACACUAAUGUGAAAAUUAACUCGACACACAAAUUAAACCCUAUUAAACAUGUAAUUGUAGUAUUAAGCAAGUAGGGAUCGUUCUAAACCGGAGAUUAACUAGGGCUGCUAAUCAAUGCAAAUAAGACUAAAAAACACUAAACUAGACUCUAUAAACUCAAAACUGACUUAAAUAACUUAAAACAACAACAAACAACUAAAUAGACUCAAACUAGACACUAGGAAUGACUUUGGACAAAAAUUGAUUUUAGCUUGACUCAAAACACUUAAAAACACAAACUAAGACAAAUUCUAACUAAUUUGACACACUAAAGUAAAGGGGAUUGGGUUUUGGACGAAUUUUAAGUAAAACAAGUAAAUUAAGGACUUAAACAAAGUUGAACGAAUUUGGUGAAUUAAAUGGAUAAUGGGCUAGCUAGAGGGUCAUUCUCCACACAUGACACACUUGGCAUACAAAUCAAUCUCCAGUAGCUUUUUCGAUAAACCAUGAAUGACAAUGCCCCAGAUUAACCGUGCCAUCACUAAUUAACCCUCAGAUUUUCCUUAAGUUAUUGAAUUGGAUGGGAUACCCAUCAUCAACCCAAAUCAUUCUUCAAUAGUCCCCUACAUGCACAUCAUCAUAGAGAUACAAUCAAAGAUCAUUAAGUUCCAUGAAAAUCAUAAACAUUGACAAAACAUUCGUAACUAUGACAUCAUAAUACUCAUGCUAGGAAUUUAACUUAACACGAUCGUGACCAGCGACCUUCACUACUUGUGAAUAUAAGUUUGUAACGAUUAUGUGAAACUCCCUUAUAUUCUAGCAUCAAAUUCAUGCAUGCAAACUAAGUAUGCAUCCUUAAUCCACAAACAAGAAUAAGUUUUGAAUAAAACAGUUAAGCAAAUUGCAUUCUCAAUAUAUGAAAUCACAACUGGAAGUAAUCAAUUCAUAUUGCAAAUAUAUUCAUGGCUUUGAAUUUUCCCCUAACUAAAAUGAGUUUAGCUCCUCAUGUUCUUAAAACAAAGAUAAAUAAACUUAAACAUUGAAAACAAAAGAUAGAUUACACCUAAAAAUGAUCCAGCAAUCCAAACUUGAAUAGCAAGCACUCCAAGGGUCCUUCUUCUUCUUCGUUGCUGCAACACAAGGUAUGGGUGAAGGUUUUAGUGAUGCAUUGUGGUGGUGGAGGGAUGUAGGUGAUUUCUGGUGAAGGAUGGAUGGUGUUUUUGCGGCUGAAAUGGGUGUAGAAUUAUAUGGGGGGUGGUGGUGAAUUUUGGCUGAAAAGAUGUAUAUAUAGGUUCGGCCAAACCCUAGGGUAAUCAGUUUAGGUUUUGAACUUAGCAGAAAUCAAGGAUUAGGGCCUAAAGGUGCGGCAAAGGUGUUUAAAUCCACUAAGAACAAGGUUUGGCCCAAUUAAUUUCUAAAAAGGAUUUGCAUAACCCAAAUCCAUAAGGAAUAAGGCUACCAAAAUCAGAAUCCAAAGGGAAUUGGGUGAGGAAAGGCACGACAAGAAUUGGAGGGAAUGGGAAUUGCUUGCAAGGCAAGGCAAAAGCCUUCUAGAAGGGAAUAGGCGCCACUUUUGUAGGGUUUCUAGAAACAAUGUGUUUUGUGACAGAAAUUAGGAAUUCUAGAAGUAGAUAUUUAGGUCCCCUUGCAGCUAGAAUUAAGGCAUGAUAAGAUUAGGAUAGGAUAAGAUAUAAGGUUAGUUUGGAUAAGAUAAGGUUGGAUAAGGUUUUGAAUAAUGUUUCUUCUUUUUAGUUGAUUUCUUAUCUUCUUUGUCUUGAAUUUAAUUUCUUCAUCUCCUUAUCAGAUUCCUAGCCUUUUGAACUCCAAAAACGUCCAUCCACCUUGGCCCAUACAUAUGUUAUCCAUUUAGUGCCUAAAACUGCUCUAAAACGCUCUAAAAUGCACUUUCUUGCCAACUUUGUCAUUUGAACCUAUAAACACACGAAAAUAGCUUAAAUCACUAUAAUAAACACAAACUAACUACGAAAAUGCAAGAAAACAAGCUAACUAAGUUGCAUAAAUAUGCUCCUAUCACACUCCCCCUCACGUGUAACCUCAUUUAGUGGUUCACACGUGGAUAUCCACAUCGGUAAUCGAAACUCAGAGGUCGGCUCACGUUGGGCCCACUUGUUUUCAAUGGAACUCAGCGGUCGUCUCUAUAUUAAGAGUUCAUACUUGUUUCCUUAUAGGUGACAAGCUUAUUAGCUUGCACGACCCCGAACCUUGGCUCUAAUACCAUGUUGGAUUUUUGGAUCGUCGGGCCCGCCCCAUUCUAACGACACCGAUACUGUCCCCAACUUUACCACUUGCCCAAUCCGUCAGGUGUGAGGUUUUACCAUAAAAGGCCUCGGUAUUAGUUAGAGUGGGGUAAUCCUAUUUAAACCCCUUAGUUUCUUUUGCACCCACCGAUGUGGGGCUUUAACAAGAGUGGGGUAAUCCUAUUUAAACCCCUUGGUUUCUUUUGCACCCACCAAUGUGAGACUUGUUAAAUGUCCCACAUCGGUGGGGAUAAAGUCUCAUAAUGGGUUUAAAUAUAAUUACUCAACUCUAACUAAUACCGAGGCCUUUUGUGGUAAAACCCCACACUUGACGGAUUGGGCAUGUGGUAAAGUUGGGGACAGUAUCGGUGUCGUUAGAGUGGGGCGGGCCCGAUGAUCCAAAAAUCCAACAUGGUAUCAGAGCCAAGGUUUGGGCCCGUGUAAGCCAAUGAGCUUGUCACCCAUAAGAAAACAAGUCUGAACUCUUAAUAUAGAAACGACCACUGAGUUCCAUUGAAAACAAGUGGGCCCAACGUGAGCUGGCCUUUGAGUUUCAAUUACCGAUGUAGAUCUCCACGUGUGAACCACUAAAUGAGGUUACACAUGAAAGAGACUGUUAAAUGUCCCACAUCAGUGGGGAUAAAGUUCCACAAUGGAUUUAAAUAUGAUUACCAAACUCUAACUAAUACAGAGGCCUUUUGUGGUAAAACUCUACAUCUGACGGAUUGGGCAAGUGGUAAAGUUGGAGACAGUAUCAAUGUCGUUAGAGUGAGGCAAGCUCGGUGAUCCAAAAAUCUAACAUGGUAUAAGAGCCAAGGUUCGGGCCCGUGCAAGCUAAUGAGCUUGUGUACAAACCAAUAAGCUUGUCACCUAGAAGGAAACAAGUCUGAACUCUUAAUAUAGAGACGACCACUGAGUUCCAUUGAAAACAAGUAGGCCCAACGUGAGCCGAUCUUUGAGUUUCAAUUGCCGAUGUGUGGAUUUCUACGUGUGAAUCACUAAAUGGGGUUACACAUGAGGAAGAGUGUUAAAGUCCCAUAUUGAUGGGUGCAAAAGAAACCAAGGGGUUUAAAUAGGAUUACCCCACUCUUGUUAAACUCCCACAUCAGUGGGUGCAAAAGAAACCAAUGGGUUUAAAUAAGAUUACCCCACUCUAACUAAUACCGAAGCUUUUGUGGUAAAACCCCACACCUGACGGAUUGGGCAGGUGGUAAAGUUGGGGAUAAUAUCGGUGUCGUUAGAUUGGGGUGGGCCGGACGAUCCAAAAAUCCAACAUGGUAUCAGAGCCAAGGUUCGGGCCCGUGCAAGCCAAUGAGCUUGUGUGCAAGCCAACGAGCUUGUCACCUAUAAAGAAACAAGUUUGAACUCUUAAUAUAGAGACGACCACUGAGUUCCAUUGAAAACAAGUAGGCCCAACGUGAGCUGGCCUCUGAGUUUCAAUUGCCAAUGUGUAGAUCUCCACUUAUGAACCACUAAAUGGGGUUACACGUGAAAGGGAAUGUUAAAGUCCUACAUCGGUGGGUGCAAAAAAAACCAAGGGGAAAGUUAAAAUCCUAUACCUGACGGAUUUGACAUGUGGUAAAGUUAGGGACAAUAUCGGUGUCGUUAGAGUGGGAUUGGCCCGACAAUGGAAAAUUCCAACAUGGUAUCAUAGUUGGGUAAUCAUAUUUAAACCCAUUGUGGGACUUUAUCCCCAUCGAUGUGAGAUUCUUAACACUCCCCCUCACGUGUAACCUCAUUUAGUGGUUCACAUAUGGAGAUCCACAUCGGUAAUUGAAACUCAGAGGUCGGCUCACGUUGGGCCCACUUGUUUUCAAUGGAACUCAGAUGUCGUCUCUAUAUUAAGAGUUCAGACUUGUUUCCUUCUGGGUGACAAGCUUAUUGGCUUGCACACAAGCUCAUUGGCUUGCACAGGUCUGAACCUUGGCUCUGAUACCAUGUUGGAUUUUUGGAUCGUCGGGCUUGCCCUACUCUAACGACAAUAUUGUCCCCAACUUUACCACCUACCCAAUUUGUCAGCUGUGAGGUUUUACCAUAAAAGAUCUCGGCAUUAGUUAGAGUGGGGUAAUCCUAUUUAAACCCCUUCGUUUUUUUUGCACUCACUGAUAUGGGACUUUAACAAAAGUGGGAUAAUCCUAUUUAAACCCCUUGGUUUCUUUUGCACCCACCGAUGUGGGAUUUUAACAGUUUGGAAUUUGCUGAAAUCGUAACACGUUUCCAACAAGGUGGAAGUCAAGUUAACCGACGGGUACCUCUUCACUGGUGCCUGAAAUGAUCCGUGCAGUGUGACGUAUACCUUGGCCGGGAGGCGCAUAAUCACCAUCCCUAAGUCGAUAAUCGUUCUGAAAAUCUGAAGCUGAGAUAGAAAGUUGACGCCCGCCGAAGUUGAUGCCAACCAGUCUGAGGCAGUAAAACCCUGGACCUUGAGAUAAUGUAGUCAGCGGUGUGAAUUUGAUAGUCUUUCUCGAACCUUUGCCACCAGCUUUGCCGAAGCUAAGGUAACCGGUAGAGCUUGAAGUGGAUGGGAGAUAGUAGGGGAAUAACCAGUUUGUUCGACUAUGGAGAUAUUGCUUCGACCGAGGCCGAGUAAACCGGUGAUGCCCUUAAAUAAUCCUUGGUUGUUCUGGCAGCAGCCAAAGACAAAACCAUUAAAAACGUCCGUUGAAGUCAAAGUUAGCUUCUUUUUGGCCCAGAAGCAGACUGUGAAUGAGCUGUCUCUAAGCCGUUCGCUGUAAACACAGGUGGAGGCGGAACAACUGCUAGUAACAUUGGAGGCUGCGAGCUGAGAACAUGCGAUAGAGUUGCAUGAGAUGUUGGAGUAAGAGGUAGAGAGAGAGGGGUCGAAGAUGAGUCUCUCUGUGGGUAACAAGACCGAACACAAGGUUGGCAUUGUGUCCAAAUGAUGUUGUUGCCGGUGUCGAAUAAGUGCACGAGUUCCUUCUUAGGCGAACCCAAGCCGAUGCUAACCAUGUAGUCACCAUAGCCCACUAAGGUUGCCUUGUAAAAGUAUGAGUAUGAUUCAUACAAGUCUUGGGAUAAUUGAUAUUAUAAAGAAGUCUCAAUCAUGUUGACAAGAGUUAAUCCAAUCAUAUUGGUAUAUUGAAGUGUUUGGGCCCAAAAUAGCAGUUUGGGCCGAGGGAAGAAUCACUCUCGGCCCGGGAAGCCGUACGGCGAAAGGGUCAUGGAGCGUUCAGCUCAUGGGCUUCCAAGCCUAGGUCGGUUAAAUCAGAAUGCAAGUCGAGUCCUAGUACAAUAGGGACUCUCGACGAGAUCAAUAAACUAGAAAGUGAAUCCGGCUCAGUUAAGGACUAGAUUCGUAGUCCUAGCGGAGAUAGGACUGAUCGAGGUAAUGUUAAUCCGGAGAAGGAAACCUAGUUCGAAUAGAAUUGGAACUCGGGCUCGGUGUUCUGCUACUAUAAAUACAAGACAUUCAGCAACGGAAAAGGCCCCCUGCAAAUCAAUACAAAAUUGCCCUGCGCAAAUUCUCACAACUUGUGAUUUUUCUUUUUCCUUUUUCGCUGACACAUCUUCCGUUGGCAUCAACAGCACUGUGGAAGCAACCGGUGAUAUCUUAAGUCGGCAUAGAUAGCUCUGUCACCGUAGAGUUAAUCGGUCUCGCAGUAUCUUCCGUUGGCAUCAACAGCACUGCGGCGAGAACGGUUGAUUACCUAUCCAAGUCUCGGUCGAGAAGGGUUUUCUAAAUCCUUAUUGGUCGAGGUCAUCUCAUCAGCCUUCUCGGCGAAGUGAGGUGUUACAGUUAUUACAUUCGGCACAUUGAAAGCCGAAUUUAAUAUUGAACUUCGUAAGAAUAGUAACCUUGUCUUCAGGUUCGAGAGCCCAAGAGGCCGAGACGUGUUCCUUUCUCGGCCGCAAUCGCAAGACGUAGAAGUCAGUAGCGCGACCCAACGCAACAUCAACAAAUUUACUCCUCGGCCGAUCUCGGCCGACGAGUUGGCACGCCCCGCAUUCACCGAAUGACGUAGUUAGCUCAUUAAUUACUCGGCCUGCGCGCCACGUAGGCUCUGUAGUUUUUAGGGUCAACAUUUUGGCACGCCUAGUGGGACCCAGUGCUAAACUACGAAGUUCAUGCCAAUUGAAACACGAUCGGUAAAAAAGAAAACAGCUAUGGGAAAGUCGACAGCCGAUUUGCCGAGUCAGAGCAUAGGACAGAGUGUGCCACAGGCGCAGAAUCCCCUUAGCGCUGCGACACCUGAGUCCACGAGCGCGACUCGCAGAGAGAGAGAAGUUAAUCUCGGCGGUCAACUCCGUGGCUUAGAGAUCCCUAACAGAAACAUAUGCGUUCUCAAUGAAGGGUUAAUAGAGGAGUGUGACGAGGAUGGUGGUGAAGGAUCUGACCCACCAACGAGGUCGUUUCUCCGAAAGCGACUGGACGAGCAGUCUCGGUCAGUCGAGGAGACGUUCAGUCGAGGCAUUGACAAGCUGCAUGACGCGAUACUCAGUGCCAAUGAUCGACAAACCAAGCUGCUCGAAAUGCUGGUUAGUAAAGUUGGUGGCAGUAGGCCUUUCGAGCUUCUCCAACAUUGUCCACCAGGAAACAAUCCGGUACCGAUUGUACCGGUCGAGCCUAUUCCUGCCCAACUCAAACCAAUCAACUUGGAAAAAGGAGGAGGGUCGAAUAGUAGGUCAGACGGAACCAACCAUAGGAUCGAAGCAACACCUGUUGAUAUGACCGAAGUUCAGCGGAUGAUCGACUCGGCCAUGAAGAAAGGGCCAAAGUUUCCUAAGUUUAUUCAUCCGUACCCAGCUUACGUGGAAACGUUUGGGUACCCGAAGGGUUUUAAGAUCCCAGAUUUUAGUCUUUUUGCCGGUGAAUCGUCCUUAUCUUCGUUGGAGCACGUGGCUCGUUUCACCGCGCAAUGCGGAGAUGUCAAUAGUGACUUUCAUAAGUUACGGCUGUUCAACUUCUCAUUGACCGGCUCAGCAUUUGCUUGGUACAUUAAUCUACCCCCUAAUUCCGUCCAGAACUGGGAAGAGUUGGUCGAGAAAUUCCACGAGCAGUUUUAUCGACCAGGGAUGGAGAUGUCAGUUUCUUCGUUAGCAAGGAUGGCUCAGGCAUCUGAUGAAUCACCAAUGGAUUAUCUUACUAGGUUCAAAUCAGCCAGGAAUUGGUGCCGAGUACCUUUACCCGAAGUCGAAUUUGUCAGGCUUGCUUUGAACGGCCUCGACGUCGAAUACAAAAAGAAAUUCCUGGGGGUAAAUUUUCGUGAUAUGUACGAAUUAGCCUAACAUGUCGAGCAAUACGAUUAUUUGCUCCGUGAGGAAAAGAUUUCGAAGACUCCAACUCGGGGGACGAUUUACAAGAAUCCUACUGUUAAUUAUGCAUCAACCGAGGAUGAAUGCGUUAGUGUGGAUGCGGCUGAGAUAGUGAUAGAUAAGCCAUAUGUUUGCAAGGCAUUGACUCAGGUUGAUUCUAGAGAAGCCAAAAGUCGCUCGGCCACUGAAGGAACAUUGAAACCGUCAAAGGUUUAUACUUUUGAUAUUACCAAGGCUGACGCAAUUUUUGACCAACUGUUAUCAGCAAGAAUCAUCAAGCUUCGGCCUGGUCAUAACAUUCCUAAGGCUGAAGAACUUAAAGGAAAGGUGUAUUGCAAAUACCAUAAUUCGAGCAAACAUACGACAAACAAUUGCGUUGUAUUUCGCGAUAACGUCCAAAGCUGGAUUGAUAAUGGCAAACUGAAGUUUCCUGAGAAGAAGAUGAGUGUCAACUGAUCCGUUCCCCACGGCAACAGUAAAUAUGGUCGACGCGUACCUACCCAAGGACAAAGGGAAAUGCAAGGCCGAAGUGGUUGAGACGCAACGCCCGCGGAGUCAGAAUUAUCAGCCACGGUUCAUGGCCGAUUUUCGUUCAAACAAGCCACCUACGGCUUUAACGGGGCCUGCUAUUGUCAAACCUAUGAUGGAUUAUAGCACCGAUAAAGAUAGUGGGGCGGCGGUUUUGUGCGGGAAAUGUAGAGCGAAGGUCGACAGUGAACCAGAGGAGAAGCCCUCUUCGCAACUUGUGGCCACAACUCGGCCAAAGGUAGCCAAUGAAGGCCAACAUCAUGGAGUUUUUGAGAGGCUCGGUCCUAAAGUACGGAUGGAAGAGACACCCCCGGUCAGGCGGCUCCUCGAUUUUGAUGCUUCAUUCUAUGACGAUGAUUACUAUAAGCGUAAUUCUAGCAGUUCAGAAUCAUCGCGGAGCCAAAAGACCUUCAAGCCUCCCGAGCCUAGAGAUCAACGUUGGUAUACAUACCAUUCUUCGAAGGGCGUUUACACCGCGUUGUCCAAAUCUCAGAAACGCCGGCAUCAACGGAUAGAUUGCAUGGCUUGCCGACGAGCAGCCCAGGAAACUUCGGCCCCUAAGUGGCGGCCAAAUGACACAGCUGCCACUGAUGAUGAGCGACCACCUCCAGCAAUUAUGACAGAGUUGGCUCAGGGGAAACGGCUGGUCGAUCAAGAUGUCGAGACCAUGUUUGAAGAAGCUGAUAAACGGAUCAAACUUCUCAUUCGACCAGGGGAGAUGAAGGCACGCCUUGAACAUUUCAGGCAAGAGGCGGAAAGCAAAUUAUACCCACCGGCUAUACCAGAACCUUUGGUCAAAAUUCGAUGGAAUUUGCAUCCCCCGUUCCUUGGGGAGUCUUUGGAGUAUAUGCGAGAAUUUCAUAAGAAACAUUCGGCCAACGAUCUGUAUGGUUUGCCGAAGGCAUGCCAGGACACCAUUGAUCUGGUCCUGACUUGUCCAGAUGCUGAGCGGAUCAUCCAGAAGACCUCAGAUCCAGGAUUGAAAGCAAGGUUCCAGCACAUCCGAGAAGCUCGUGUCCUUGGAUUUGAAGUCGACCCAUACACCGAUAUCAAUGCAGCCGACCUUCCUUUCUCGCUGGAAGACCUUCAAUAUUUGCGAUAUCACUUUGAAGUAUUUUCAGCAGUUUCUCUCUUCGGCCUUACGACCGAUGAAAUCGCACGUAUUGCCCGUCUGGAUGCUUAUCUCGACACUAGGGAUGCUCGGCUACACUACCAGGAGCAGGUUCAGGUCUUGAUCCCAAGUACAUUGUCAAUCUCACCUGAGGCGGUCACGCAGAACCAACCUGUCGCCGAAGCAGCUCCGCCGGUUGACGUCGUUGAAGAAGGGACAGAAGAGUCUCGUUGUCCGACUUUGACAACAACUGAAUCCGUAGUCGCCGACCAACCAAAUGAGGAGGGUCUUGACCAGAUGGGCCCGUCAGUCCUGGAUAAUAUGGAAAUCAGUAUGGUCCACGUGUUACCUGCCGAUUUUCAAUCAAGCACGGCUCAACCAAAUUUCCUCGAUGGAGAUGUGGUUGCCGAAGAACCCGGCCAUAUUGAUUUUGUGUCGAUUGCUGAAGGUGAGUCAGCAACGAAAGAUGAUGGUUUAAAGGCUGCCUUGGCCGAAUUGUUCCCUCGUUCAUCGUCGGCCAAGCUUCACCAUUUAAAGCCAUUGUAUGUGACGGCCCACAUUGAGGGAUAUCCAGUUUCUAAAGUUUUUGUCGACUGUGGGGCUACCGUCAAUAUCAUGCCUCUGAACAUCAUGAAGGCCUUACGCCGUUCGAAUGACGAGCUUAUUCCGUUAGGAAUCACAAUGAGUAGUUUCGUCGGCGACAAAUCCCAAACCAAAUGUGUACUUCCGUUAACUGUGAAUAUUGCUGGUCGCACCCACAUGACCGCCUUUUUCGUGGUUGAUUCCAAAACCGAGUAUAAUGCAUUGCUCGGCCGAGAUUGGAUCCAUCAAACCAGUUGUAUUCCUUCGUCGUUGUAUCAAGUGCUUAUCUUUUGGGACGGAAAAUCGGUCAUUGUUCACCCGGCCGAUAGCCAGCCCUUCGAAGCGAACAUGAUCCAAGCCCGGUAUUAUGAUGACCACGUCGGCUAUAUUACGUUGCAAGGCUUCAAUGAAGACGGACGGCCGACUCGGAUUUCAGUUCAGAAAGCUAUCGAGGUUGGCGCCGAGACUGUCCACCAGGAUUCGGCGAGACUCGGAUUGGCCAAUUUUCUCCCCGAGUCUGAUGUCUGACACAGAUCAGGACAAACGUAGGGCCGCGGUUUCAUCUACGAUGGAACGACUGCUGGCCCAUUGGUAUGCUAUAUCUCGGCAACCGAAUUCCGGCGUUAACCUCGUUGAUUUCCUUACCGAAGAGGAUCAUGGUCCUGCCUUAUCUUUUGAUAAAGUCCGAGCCGCCCCGGCCGAGCUCGAGGAUCAUCGGCCCCAAGUUAAGGACCCCCUAGAAGAAAUUAAUGUUGGGACGGCCGAUGACCCACGACCUUUGUUUGUUAGCGCUUUACUUCCUCAACAAAUGAAUGACGAGUUGCGUGCCUUGCUUACGGAAUUCAAAGAUUGUUUUGCUUGGAGUUAUCAUGAAAUGCCCGGCUUAGAUCGUGCUCUGGUCGAGCAUGAACUACGUAUUAAGCCCGGAUUUAAGCCUUUCCGUCAGCCACCUCGCCGAUUCUUGACCGAAGUACAACUCAGUGUCAAGGACGAACUAGUUCGGCUUUUGAAAGCCGGAUUCAUUCGGACAGCUCGAUAUGUCGAAUGGUUGGCGAAUAUUGUUCCUGUAUUAAAGAAAAAUGGUGCACUGCGCAUCUACACCGAUUUUCGAAAUCUGAAUCUGGCAACUCCCAAAGAUGAGUAUACAAUGCCGAUUUCAGAUCUGUUAAUCGAUGCUGCGGCAAAUCAUGCGAUCUUAUCCUUUAUGGAUGGACAUGCCGGGUACAACCAAAUAUUUAUUGCCAAAGCCGAUGUGCACAAAACUGCUUUCCGUUGCCCGGGGGCACUCGGCACUUACGAAUGGGUUGUCAUGCCAUUCGGCCUCAAGAAUGCCGGCGCCACGUACCAACGGGCGAUGAACACCAUCUUCCAUGAUUUAAUUGGCACCAUCGUCGAAGUUUAUAUCGACGAUGUUGUCGUCAAAUCUAAACGUCGACAGACACAUCUGGACGAUCUCCGACAGGCUUUCCUCCGCAUGCGUCAGCACAACCUCAAGAUGAAUCCUGCCAAGUGUGCCUUCGGUGUAUCGGCCGGGAAUUUUCUUGGUUUCCUCGUACAUCAUCGUGGGAUUGAAGUCGAUGAGAAUAAGGCACGCGCAAUCAUCACUGCCCCACCCCCAACAACGAAGAAACAAUUACAGUCCUUACUCUGCCAGAUCAAUUUUUUACGCCGAUUUAUUGCUAAUUCGGCAGGUAAAAUGAAAGCAUUUUCCAAACUUUUGAAACUCAAGGACUCAGAUAAGUUCGUGUGGAAUGAGGAGCAUCAGGCGGCGUUUACACAGAUCAAGGUUUCUCUUACAAACCCACCUGUCCUGGUCCCUCCUCAGCGCGGUAAGCCUCUCAAGCUAUACAUUUCGGCGGCCGAAGAGUCCAUUGGUUGCCUCCUCGCGCAAGACAACGAUGCCGGACGGGAACAGGCUAUCUUCUACCUCAGCCGUAAUCUGAGUCAUCCGAAGAUCAAUUAUUCCGCCGUUGAGAAGCUCUGUCUCGCCGUGUUCUUCGCUGCAUCCAAACUUCGGCAUUACAUGCUCCCGUCGGUCACCCAAGUCAUUGCCCAGACCGACGUUAUCCGGUACAUGCUUACCCGGCCAAUUAUGAAGGGCCGAAUUGGGAAAUGGACGAUGGCGUUGUCCGAGUUCAGUUUGCAAUACGUGCCGUAAAAAGCUGUGAAAGGACAGGCGUUGGCCGAUUUCCUUGCCCAGCACCCUUCGCCUUACGGUUUCGAGGGUGCUGACGUCGAAAUCGGCAUGGUGGUGACCCGCGACAACUAUUGGACGAUGUAUUUCGAUGGUUCCAGUACUUCGUCCUCGGCCGGCGCAGGCAUCGUCAUUCAAUCUUCUCACAACGAUCGUUGGUAUUUUUCGCUCAAAUUGGAUUUCGACUGCACCAAUAACCAGGCCGAAUACGAGGCUCUGGUCAUUGGUCUGGGCCUCCUUCUUGACCUACACGCCACUCGUGUCCUCGUCAUCGGGGAUUCUGAACUAGUGAUUAACCAAAUUAAUGGGUCUUUUCGCUGCAUGAGUUGUACUCUGGCGCCUUACCACAUGGUCGCCAGCUAUUUGGCCGAGUCCUUUGACGGUAUUACAUUCGAGCAUGUUUCUCGGGUUCAUAAUACCGACGCAGACGAGUUGGCUCAAAUCGCCUCCGGUGCACAACUCCUGGGGGGCAAGCUAGGCCGGGAGAUACCAAUAUUACGACAACUAUACCCGGCCUUGGUUAAUCAGCAAAUCCUCCGUCGAGACAAUGUGAUACGCACCAGGGUCAUGUCCCUGCCUUCGUUGUUAGAUCGGCAGGACUCUAUAGAAAUUUGCGCGGUCGAGGCAGUACCAGAUGAUUGGAGAAAACCCAUUAUGCAUUACCUUGACAAGCCUAACGGAAAACAUAGUCGCAGGACACGGGUUCACGCCACGAACUAUGUCACGUACCAGAACGAGUUGUACCGAAAGGGCGAAGAUGGUUUGUUAUUGCUAUGCCUCGGCCCCCAAAAGAGUGCUCGGGCGAUCGCAGAGGUUCAUGAAGGGGUAUGCGGAGCUCACCAGUCUGGACGGAAAAUGCGAUGGUUACUCCGACGACACGGCUAUUUUUGGCCGAAAAUACUGAAAGAUUGUAUCGAGUUUGCACGAGGAUGCGUGCAGUGCCAAAUCCAUGGGCCUAUACAAAGGGCCCCGGCCGAAUCACUACAUUCGGUCAUUAAGCCGUGGCCGUUUAGAGGAUGGGCCAUGGACGUAAUCGGCAAAAUCACGCCGACUUCUGGAGCUGCUAAGCAUGCAUGGAUAAUAGUCGCAACUGAUUACUUUACUAAGUGGGUCGAAGCAAAAUCAUAUGCCGAGUUAACAUCUAAAGAAGUUUGCGAUUUCGUGGAGGAACACAUUGUGACCCGGUUCGGUGUGCCAGAAACGAUCAUAACCGACAAUGGAACAAUCUUCACAAACGAAAGGUUUAAGGAAUACACGGCCAAUUUGAAAAUUCGGCUGGAGCAGUCCACACCGUAUUAUCCACAGGCGAAUGGGCAGGCCGAGGCAAGUAAUAAAGUGUUGAUCGGCAUCCUCGAAAAAAUAAUAAAAGAAAGGCCUGGGAUGUGGCAUUUGAAGUUGAACGAGGCAUUAUGGGCAUACCGAACGUCGCCCCGGUCGGCGACUGCGACAACCCCAUACGCAUUAACCUACGGACACGAUGCAAUGCUACCAGUCGAGUUGUGCAUAAAUUCGUUGCGAUUAAUUGAACAAAGUAGUUUGUUUAGCGCCGAAUAUAGUCAGUCCAUGAGACAGGAAUUAGAAGAUUUGGAAGAAGCGCGACUUGACGCUUAUAACUUACUAGUGGCGAAAAAACAGAUUGCCGAGCGAGCCUAUAAUCAAAAGGUGCGACAGAAAACAUUCGGCGAGGGUGAGUUAGUGUGGCAAACGGUGUUGCCCGUAGGAAUGAAAGAUCCUAGGUUCGGCAAGUGGUCGCCGAAUUGGGAAGGGCCGUUUAUUGUGCAUAAAGUAUACGGAAAUGGGGCGUAUCAUCUUAAAGACCGAACCGAUGCGGUCCACAGAUUACCGAUUAAUGGGAAGUUUUUUAAGAAAUAUUAUCCGGUCACAUGGGAAAUGCGGGAAUAGUAAACCAGUCCAUUAAAAUUGAUAAGUAUUUACAAAAUGAGUAGGUCGGUUGGUUUACAUUCAGAUACAUUUAAGGAGAAGAGGGAAGAAGAGUGCUGAGCAGAGCCUUCAACUCCAACCACCGCACGUCGGCCAUGAGGACUUCGGCUUGCCGAUUCUUUUUGUCCAGCUUCAGCCGCUCGACCCGUUUUUUGGCUGCUGCAUACUCGGUUAGGCGAUCCUUCCCGCCUGACUCGAAGUCUCUAGCAAGCUCGGAAGCAAUGGCCGACCGACGUUUUGCUAGUUCGGCCAUCUGACGGUCGAGCUCGGCUAACGCGUCUCCUUUUGCCCGUAGAUCGUCAAUCUUCGGACGGAGGGUGUCUUGAACGGCCGUGGCGGCUUGCAGGUCUUGUUCGGCCUUUAGAGCGGUUUGGAAGAUACUAAAUGUCUCCCGAACGCGCUCCAAGGCAGACGAUGCCCGAACAAUGACAUCUCCGCUCAGGCGACCGUCGGCUCCAAGGUCGUUCAGACACACGCCGAGCAGAUCAAGACCGUUGCGCUCAAGUACUUGUGAUGAUGAGAGCGACAUGACUUCUCGCAGCUGGGUUAGGGCGCUGGGAUCGGCAGCUUCGGUCGUAGCGGCCGAAGGACCAGACUCUGCAGUGGUACUGGAGAGGAGGGCUUUGAAUUCGACCUCACAGGAAGCCUGCACAUACAAAUUAGGUUAAGUUUAAAAGAAGUCAUGACAGAAGUAGCAAGAAGGUUUAGUUUUUUUUAACCUGCCGAGAGGAGACCUCGGCCAUGUCUCCAGGAUCGUUGGUCGAACCUAAAGAACUCAAUGGCCGAGCCCAGUGUUUUAGGUUGCUUCUCGGUUCACGCGGCCGAUGGAGGUUAUCUACGUUUGAUGGCCACUGAGGCGGCCACGAAAUAUAGAUAACGCCCUUCGGCGCAUAGAAUUCUCGGUGAAAAGAAUGUACAGGCACCUGACAUUUAUUAUUUUCCUCGUUUAGAAUUCUAAAGAAAAAAAGCAAUCAAGGAAAGAUGGUCGAAGGUGCUUACAAAGGCUGAGGUAACCUCCUGUGGAGGAAUGUGGAAGCCCUGGUCUUGAGGAUGAACAGGCGAUUCCGUCGUUGCCUCGGGUUCCUCGACCGGUCGUUUGCCACGGUCGGCUGUGGAAGGGCCGACUGGAACAGCUGCUUCAGAGGAGGCAGGGACGUUCUGGUCCUGAGAGGGAGCGAGAGGUUCGGCCACCGAGGUCGGUUCCUCGACCGGGCGCUUGCCACGAUCAGCCGUGGAGGGGCCGGCUCGAACCGCCGUCUCAGACACUAGAGGAGGUGGUUGGCGAGGAUGAGGACGGUGUGUCGGCGGGACUUCGUCGCUCCCCUCGCUCUCUUCUAGAACGAAGACCGAGGGCUUUGGAUUUUUCGGGGAGGUUUCCUCGGCCGUAGAGACCACCUGUUGAGGGACAGGUGCCUUCUCGACGGAGGGAGGUACGACUUGUUUCUCGGCCAGGGGUUGGCCGGCGGCUGGAGAAGGGGAAGCACUGGGAGUCGUCGUCCCCGUAGUGUGCUUGGAGAUGACAUGGAUCUCUCGUGCACCUUUCUUCGCCAGUUGUUUGACCCGCUUGGCAGGCGGGGAAGGCUCGAUAGCCGGCUCGGUUUCUUGGCGAGGCCGUUUGACCAGCACGGCCCUACCAGCAGGUUUGUCUUUUUGGGCCAUGACCGAUUUUUUCCCGGCCAUGGCAGCGGCAACUACCUCUGUUUUUCUCAAGGGCCGACUACCUAAGAAGACAGGCAAUUCAGUAAGGCAAAUCAAUAUGCAAGGAAAAAAAAAAAAAAAAAAUUUGAACAGGUACCUUGAGUAUGAGGGGCCGAGGCCUUCUUAGGUCGGUCACCAAAGAGUCUGCUCAGCACAUCCUCGACCGGCGCACCAAAGAACUCCUGGGUGUAAUUUUCCUACCACUCACCGAAGGUGUCGGUGCAAUGGGUUUCUGGGGUGGCUGGUCGAAGGCGGAAUUUUUGGCAGCGCUCUUGGAACUCUCUCACGGCAGUUCUACACUCCUUCUCCGAGGAACGAGGUUCACGUCCACGGCUUAGGACUGUUCGGGAGGAGAGAAGGGGGACGGGGCAGCCCUGAAGGUAGCCGAACUGUCGGGCAAGGAAGUUCGGAUGAUAUACUUCCCAACCCGACCGUUUCCCGUCACAGCCGAGAGGGAGGUCGCGAGCAAGCACAAACGACCCCCAGGUCUGACGAAGAUCGGCGUCUUCCUCCGAGCUCCAUGUAGAGGUAGGCAGCCUGAUGGAGGAAGGAUAGUCUCGACGACGACAUAUCAGGAACUCGUCGUUGGAGAAGUCGUCGAGAGCGAAGAGGUACCGAAAUACCUCUUCGGCUUGAUGGGGAGGUGUCGGUUGAGAGGCCAGUUGAGGUCCAAGCGCCUCUGUUGGUAAGAAGUCAGCUAUGGCCGGCCGAAGGGAGGUAAAGUAUACUUGCAACCAGAGUUGGAAGACCCAGAGAGGACCAUUCUGGUGUGGGUCGACCUUGUGGAGGGUCGCCUCGGCCAGGCAACGGAAAAGUUGGGCGAAAAUGUUGGAACUCAGUGCCAGGACGUGUCCACUAGCCAGGGCUUCGGCUACCGGCAUGUUCUCGACCAAACACUUGUUUGACUUGGUACAACAAAUGUAUUUGUUGUACCAAUAGAAGAGGAAGGCUUUAUGCUCUCCCUCUCACAGGUCAUCUUCUCCUCGGCCGGCGAAGUGAAGAUAGAGGGUGUUGUAAUUACAGAAGUUCUUGUGGAGCUUCUGAAUGUCUUCCUUCGACGGGAUGUGACCGUCACGGUUCAGGGUCUCGAAGGCUGGACGGUCGAAAAGCGUCUUCAAGUCGAUAUUCGACGGGUGCCCAGAAAGCGUCGCGUCGACAGGGAUCCCGGUUGCCGAAGUCCCCAGAAUGGCAGUGAUAUCCAGGAUGGUGGGACCAAUGGGACCCAGAGGAAGAACCAUUGUGUUGGUGGCCGAGCACCAGAAGCACAGAGCGGCUAGGAGAAGCUCCUUGUCGAGGACGACUUCCAUGGACGAAAGGAGGAUGGCGUCGUAGAUGCCGAGGGCCUUCCACUGCUCGCCAAAGAGUCGUUCCAUUCGAACAACCCAGGCUGCCCAGGUUGUGGUCGUCGAGGGCCAGGAGCCCUGGGGCUUCGCCGCAUCCCAUCGCGACCAUUCAAACCCUUGAAGCAGGGGUGUUAGGCAGUGCUCCUGUAGAAGGCCGAUGAUAGUCGGCGGUAUUGUAGCCUUGAAGAGAGGACCCAGGAUUUGGUACUGAGUGCUCAUGUCGUUUUCAAACCGUAUGGUCUUGAUCGAGCUCCGAUCAAGAAUCUUCUGGUGCUGGUCACAUUCCCUGGAAAGCUUGGAGAUGAAGGACGCCAUUGUAAGAAAGAAGCACGGAGUAAAAGGGUUUUCUGGGUUGGGGAUUUAAGACGAAGACUUGGAAUGGAGAAAUGCACUGGAAAGCAAUGGCAGAGGAUUUCAGGAAGUUUGAGAGCGUAAAGUACAAAUGAGGGAAUUUCGGUAUUUAUAGAGUUGUGGGGGGAAGAGCAAUCGUUCGAAAUUCAAAACAAAGGGCAAAAUAGACCAAAUGAAUCGUGGAUCAUGAUGAACAUUUGGGAAAUGCAGUUGAGAAGACCGAAGGUUUCAGAUGUUGGAGGCGCACGAUCGCGUGUGACGGCGAAAUUAAUGACGAAAGACGGUUCGACGCCUGCAUGAUGACAAGUGGGCUCACGGACUGAGGUAGUGGCUCGCGGAUUGAGAUAGUGGUCAUAAUGGCAAGACGGUUCGGGCAGGCGCACGCUUUAGACGUCAUUAUUGGGGAUUGGCCAUGUUAGAGGAUGCCACGUGGCGAGUGGUUUAGCAGGAUCAAGAUCGUGCGAUCGUGUUCAAUAAAUGCACCUUGGAACUCGGGUAUUAGGAUUCUGAGUGGUAGAUUCGCUUCUUCAAGGCCGAAACUCGGCCGAAGGUUUCAGGCCGAGGACCUCAGAAGCGAGGGGGCAAUGUUUGGGCCCAAAAUAGCAGUUUGGGCCGAGGGAAGAAUCACUCUCGGCCCGGGAAGCCGUACGGCGAAAGGGUCAUGGAGCGUUCAGCUCAUGGGCUUCUAAGCAUAGGUCGGUUAAAUCAGAAUGCAAGUCGAGUCCUAGUACAAUAGGGACUCUCGACGAGAUCAAUAAACUAGAAAGUGAAUCCGGCUCAGUUAAGGACUAGAUUCGUAGUCCUAGCGGAGAUAGGACCGAUCGAGGUAAUGUUAAUCCGGAGAAGGAAACCUAGUUCGAAUAGAAUUGGAACUCGGGCUCGGUGUUCUGCUACUAUAAAUACAAGACAUUCAGCAACAGAAAAGGCCCCCUGCAAAUCAAUACAAAAUUGCCCUGCGCAAAUUCUCACAACUUGUGAUUUUUCUUUUUCCUUUUUCGCUGACACAUCUUCCGUUGGCAUCAACAGCACUGUGGAAGCAACCGGUGAUAUCUUAAGUCGGCAUAGAUAGCUCUGUCAUCGUAGAGUUAAUCGGUCUCGCAGUAUCUUCCGUUGGCAUCAACAGCACUGCGGCGAGAACGGUUGAUUACCUAUCCAAGUCUCGGUCGAGAAGGGUUUCUAAAUCCUUAUUGGUCGAGGUCAUCUCAUCAGCCUUCUCGGCGAAGUGAGGUGUUACAGUUAUUACAUUCGGCACAUUGAAAGCCGAAUUUAAUAUUGAACUUCGUAAGAAUAGUAACCUUGUCUUCAGGUUCGAGAGCCCAAGAGGCCGAGACGUGUUCCUUUCUCGGCCGCAAUCGCAAGACGCAGAAGUCAGUAGCGCGACCCAACGCAACAUCAACAAAUUUACUCCUCAGCCGAUCUCGGCCGACGAGUUGGCACGCCCCGCAUUCACCGAAGGACGUAGUUAGCUCAUUAAUUACUCGGCCUGCGCGCCACGUAGGCUCUGUAGUUUUUAGGGUCAACAUGAAGACUCUUGUGUUUGCUCGUUUAUAGGACUCAUACAAGGAAUGCAGUCUGGUAUUCCUUGUAGGAUUGUUAUAGGGCAAUCCAAGUCUUUUAGUAUAACCACAAGCCCUUUCUCUCACAAAAACAGUCUCUUAUUGUUCCAAUUACAUAUAACUUGGAGAGCAUUGAGUUUUGCAGAGAGGAGAAGGUCGUGUGUAGAUUUCUCCAAUGGCUCUUAAUCCUAAUCUGUUGAACAUAGUUACGAUAUGGUGUUUAGUACUACUCUUUCCUAUGAUCAAUGCCGUGAAACAUGAAGAAGUUAUUCAAGCUAAGAAAGAGAGUAGCAAUUAAAAGAGCAGCGAUCGGCUGUAAGAAAGAAGAAUGGCAACAACCCAAAGGUCCUUGCAGAAUUCAACAACUUCCAGAGGUUGUAGUCAUGGCCAUUCUCUCAAGGCUAGUCUCCAUCAAAACCAUCCUUAAUUGCCGGCUACGUCCGACUUCCCAAUUCGGGGAAGACCUUGUUUUACUGGUUUUUCAAGCCCAAGAGGAUGCAUCUCGAAAACCCCUCGUCCUUUGGCUUAUUGGAAUAGCACCAUCUGCUGUCUUCUGACAGCACACAUGGGAAAGACUUCGUGAAACAGUCUGCAGGUAUGUGUUGCAGAUAUUACUUCAGUAUCUACAUAUGUAGAACAUAUUUGAUGCGUUGGUUGUGAUUUAGUUGGUAAAUUCUUAUGUUCUUGGCUAAGUAUAUUAACAUAAAGCCUAUGUUUACUCUUACAUGCCUCGCUGGGCGGGGAUGACGGUGGCAUCAGAUUGUUUGAGUGGUCCUUCAGGGAUUCUGUAGGUUUUGUUUCCAAUGUUGAAACGGGAGUGGAUCGAGCCGACUCAGGCUUCAUCUUGCUCGAGGAUUUGUGUGAGGUCCUCAUCCUGAUCAGUAGUACUGCUUUUUGGUUUACGUUGGCGGAGUUGAUUGCAUGGCCCAUGCCUGUGUACCACUUUUAGUACUGAUGCCUUGUUAUUGUUAUGAUCUAAAUUGGAAUGUAUAUAGGAGUUUAGUUAUCCAGAUUCACAAUUAUUUUCAUAUAUGCGUGUGUGUGUAUAUAUAAUUAUAUAUUCAUAUAUAUCCUUAAGCUGUAAACAAGCUUUAAGUAGGUGAAAUAGUCACGCAAUGAGAUAAAUUUAUAUAGAAAUGUGAGACGUGAAGUCAAGUUUUUCUCAUAACCAUAAUAUUAUAUAGAAAUAUAUAUGUUUAAUAUGCUAUUUAAACAUACAAACUUGACAUAACCCGUAAUCUCUAAUAAGGGUGAGUCUUACUAUUAUAUGUGAGACUCGCCUGAGAGUAUCACCUCCACCCACCAUCAUCACCGUUGCCGUCACCACCACUCACCAUAAUUAUCGCUGCUGCCACCGUUACCCACAAUCACCGCCACUGUCAUCAUGACUUAUUAUCAUCAUCGUCGUUAUUGCUACCACCAUCCACCAUCUUCAUCACCGCCAUUGACGAACCCCACCACCACCAACGCUGUCACCACCUCCACCCACCAUCAUCACCACCACCACCUUUGUUAGUACAUUUCUUAACUACUAUCUCUCAUAUUGAAUUCUGUAUUUGAAUUUCCUUAUCCUUUUAGGUUAGCCAAAUAAGAAAAAUUCACAUAUAAGAAAAUAAAUUUAAAAAAAAAGAAAAAAAAUCACAAAUUUUAGAAAAUAAAUUUCAUCAUUUUACAAUUCCUUAAAAAUCUUUAAUUUCUUCAUUCAAACAUAUUAGAAUUGUGGUAAUAUCACAUUACGAGAACCCAAAUUUUCAUUGAUGCAAGUCCCCUACUUUUUCACACAAAAAUAAUUAUUGUUGCAUGGCUUGAUUUUGUAUUAUUCUGACUUAUGUUGUGAGACUAGAUAUAGAAGAAUUGUAGAAUAGCAACGACAUAAAGUACUUUUAUUUUUUAUUUUUAUACAAGUUGCUGCUUGCGUACUUGAAUUCUUUUUUACCUAUUACACACACAAACCAAUUGUCACUAUGUAUGGUUUGUGCCAAUUCGUCUAUGUAUAAUUAUGUAUUACUAUUACAUUAUCUGUUAUAAAAUUUGCCCUAUGUUGCUGCUGGUGGUGGCUUAAUCAAACUUUUUAGCCAGCCUAAUUAAGCAACUAAUCACAUAAGCCCUCAUGCUCAGGGGCAUCCUGCAGGGGCAAAUCCGAUUUUACGACCACCUACAUCAUACACCACCUGCAGCCUCUUCUGCUGAACGUUACCAAAUAUCCCAACGUCGCUGUCGUCGCCGUUCCCGGCAAACGCCAGGCAAACUUGAUCGGCACUCGCCACAUACAUUAUCCCCGUCUCGUCCAAAUCCAACGUCAUCCCUCCGCCGAAAGCAAACGAAAUCUUCGGAUACGUCGGCGUUUUAACAUUGCUGAAGUCGUAGCAAGUGUCGAGAAUAGAAAGCGCCGGAGCCGAGGUGUAGCUCUUCAUCUGCUGCCGAAACGCGUCCCGCAGUGCCCUGUACGCCGUCGCCUGCAAGCGCGUGAUCACCGUCCCGGAAUCUAUAAUCGUCCCCGAGGAGGAAAAAACUUCACCGGAAAUCGGUAAUUUUUUCCCGCCAACGCUGAUCCCGACCACGUUGAGGCCGUAAAACGACCCGCUGUCGGAGACGUCGACGAGGGGUGUGAAUUUCACGCCCUUGGAAGAUCGGCCGCCUUUGCCGAAUCUGAGGUAUCCAGUGCCGCUAGAUGUGGAGGGGAGGCAAUAGGAGAAGAACCGGUUGUAUUUCAAGGCGGAUUGCUCGACGAGGGAGAUGUUAUCCCGGCCAAGACCGAGCAAACCGGCGGCACCCCCGAAAUGGCCCUGGUUGUUCUGGCCGCAUCCGAACAAAAACCCAUCAAAAACAUCCGUCGACGUCAGGCUCAGUCGCUCUUUCCCGAAAUAUCCGACGGAGAAGGACCGGUCUCCGUACCCAAUGGUGUAGAUGCAUGUGGAAGUGUAGCAGCGGGGGUUGUAUCCCGUGGCUGACGCCAGCUGGGAACAUGUGGCAGAAUUGCAUGAGACAUUAACGUAUGAGGCGGAGGUUGCGGGAUCAAAGAUGGGCUCCUUCUGGUCGUAACACGAACCAGCACAUGGGCGGCAUUGGGUCCACGUUAGAUCGCUGCCUGUGUCGAAAAUGAGGGAAAGCUGCUUCUUGGGUGAGCCCAGACCCACGUUGACAAUGUAAUUGCCCGAGCCCAGUACGCUUCCGGACUUGGCGGGGAUGGUGGCGGCGGCGGAUGGAUGGGGUUUACCGACCGUGGUUGUGGAUGGUGAUUUAUUGGUGUUGAAUAGGGAGUGGAUUGAGUCGACUCGGGCUUGGUCCUGGUUGAGGAUUUGAGCAUGAGUUAGAGUUUUGGAUUUGUUCUUGUUGAUUCGAGAGCAUGGUCCGUGCUUGUGUACCACUUUUAGUACCGAUGAAGAUGAUGACUCCUUGCUCUCACCACCUGAAUUCAAAUAGAUCGAUUACACUUAGUUACACUUUUUUAUUAUAACCGAAGGAGACUAUGUCCGAUACAAAGACUUAAAACGCUUUCGAGUAAUAGGAGUGGUUUUUAAAUAACUUUUAAGUAUUUUAUGAGGGUUUAUUCGUAAUUUUAUUUUACAAAAGCACUUUUCAACAAAAAAAACGCUAAUAUAUAUGAAUACAUAACAUUUUCAUAUAUAAAUAUGAAAACCCAAUUUAUGUCUUUAAUACAUAACGUUUUCUUAUAAUCUCUAAUGUUCAUUACUUCACUUAGUAUUGGUUUAGUGAUAUUUUUCUUUUAUUUGUAAUUAAGAGGUCUUAGGUUCAAUUCUCGUCAAAUGUGAAUUUGAAUCACAUGAUUAUAGCUAGCCUAGUUUGAGAGUUAGGGCUAGUUUAGUAUUGCUGUGCUUUUAAAAAAAAGCUGCUUCUGCUGUGCUGUAAGAAUAAGUAACUGUGAAAUAAAGCAGCAGAGUGUUUGGUAAACUUUUUUUGUAAAAGUGCUUUUGAAAAAAAAAAGCAGUAUUAUAGUGUUUGGUAAACUUUUAUGUAAAACAAAUAUGAAAAAAAAAACCGGUUUUUCAAAGCUGAGUUUUGCAGCUUCUUGUUUUUGGCUUUUUUCACCCAAAACUGUGAAAAAAAAGCUGAAGCUAAAUGUUUACCAAACACAAAAACAGCUCACAACUUUUUUUUAUACCAAUUUUUUUCAGAAUCACCUCAAUACCAAACCAGACAUUAACUCCCUCUCUCACCCUUGUCCUUCUGCCAGUCUCUGUGGUACCUGCUUAUGCGGCCAUGAAUAAACAAAGAACAUGCAUGGUUUGCGGAUAAAUUGGUUAAGUACCAAAAGAAAAUAGUUUUUAUAGGUUAUGAUUUCAUGUUUCUAUUGAGCAAUCAUUGCGUAAUUUUUAAUUAUUGUAGCUUAAACACACAAAAAUAUGUAUACUUUUUUUUAUAACAAAACAUAUUAUCUACACUAAUGAGAGAUGGUCGACAAUAAUUAUUAAUUAUUAGCCAUACAAUGAGUUAGUAAUAAUUUAGUUUAAAUUCGCAUAUGACGAGAAUCUAACUUAAGAACUCUGAAGAGGAAUAUCACUAGACUGUAGUACUAAGUGAAACAAAUAUAUAAAUACUUACACACAAUAUAUAUAUAUAUAUUCCGUAGUGAAUUAAAUUAUUAAAUGUAAAAGAAAAAAGAAAACCUGUGAAUAUAAAACCUGAACCAAAGUAUAUAAAUAUUAUUAUUUUUUGCUACUACAACAAAACGUCAUUUGCACACACACAUAGAUAUUUUUGAGACAAAAGACUUAAGAAACAAAACCAUGAAAAAAAACUCUUUUAAUAACUUUAUGAAAGUUGUUCCCAAAAUCCAGACAAAAUGAGUCAUCCUAUUUUUUAUAACAUAAGUUGGCUGGAACAGCGUAUUUUUCUUUUAGUAUAUAUUUCAACUCGAUUCACCUUUCAUAAUUUAAAAUUAAUUUAGUGUAAUCUACUAGUAGUAUAUGAAAAACAUAAUCCCCUUGGUUAUUGGUGUUAAUAUAAUCGUGUUCGCAUCAAAUAAUAGUAAAUCCUAGCUCACUAUUUUCAUAUUUGGUUCCGUACGUAUCACCAUCAUGCAUGUUGAAAAUUACAUCAAACUAUCAAAACUUUAUUACUUUCCAAAAUAAUAUAAUUUUAUGACUUUAAGAUUUUGCAGAAUCUAAUCCGUGCUUUCUUUAUCAAAGUAUCCCCGUAAAUUUUCUUUUAUCUAUUUUAUAAAACGAAACAUUUCUCCGACCAGCCGCAGCACAUAUAUUUCCAACAUUGCAAUUAAACCUUGUACAUAGAAGCAAGCUCUAACAAAUUAUACAAUGGCUUUCGAUUUUUUGUAUGAAUGAUGUUUUGUAAUGAUGGCUUACGAAAUGACCGGUUCAAUAAUAUUGAAUAAAAAAAACUUGAACAUAUUUAUUAACCUUUGGCGGAGGAGCUAGGGCUGCAUGAGGUUGCUGGCAGCAGAGAAUUGAGUUCAACUGUAUGAGAAACUGGAUGGGGUUCAACUGUACGGGGACGCUGGUUCUCUUCCAAGGCAAAGCCCUUCUCCAAAGAGCUGAGAAUUAGGGUUAGAAUUACAGAGAAGUAAAGUAAAUAGCUCAUGAGGGAGGAGGAGGAGGAGGAGGAGCUAGAAAUACCGGGAGUUGCUGCCAUGAAUAUCGAAAACUCUUCCCAGAAUUCAAAUUAUGGUGUUGCUCCUACACAGCGCGACCUUCUCAGCCUUAUAAUAAGCAAAUGGGAAACCUUUUGGCGUCUUACACGUCACCCUUACAACUUGACAUGAGACCAAUUGAUUGAUUAGGUUUUUUUUAAAAGGGUAGAUAUGACAAUGUGUAUAUUGUUGAGGAAAAACUUAGAGUACACAACUCUAACACAAGUGUUAGAGAUGCAAUACAAGUAAACAAAUUACUUGUAUUACACACACAAAAUAUUACAACAAACAAACUUUUAAGGACACUCUUUAGAAGCUAUGACACUCACUCACUCACUUUCUAGAGACAAACUCUAGAUCACUCACACUCCUCACAAACUACUUUUACUUCUCACUCUCACUUGGUUGCCUACUUCUUCUUGGUUGGUUCUUUCUUACUUGAUUACAUUACAACACGCAUACAUACAUACUUAUAGGCAUGUUUGCCGACUUCACUAGCUCUUUCUAGUGCAUGUUACUGCACCCACAUAUGGCUUUGCAUAAUAGCCGUGCCGACUUAAAUGAUGCUAGAAUUUUCUAGCAUAUUAUGCAUGUCCACCGACUUAACAUGCAUAUUUAAACUUGGUCUAGUUCAUUUGCAACUGGACAAAGUCCUCUAGAAGCUUCUACCUUCCAAGCUUGCUGCUUGAAUUUGCUAGACUUUUCUAGAAUCCAAACACCAAUUGGGCUAGUGUUGAUCUUCAACACUCUCCCUCAACACCAACUCAUCCUUUCCUCCAUGUUGAGUUGACGACGAAGCUUUUUCUUGCACACCCAUUUACAUGAUAUGGGUUUCACAUCUCUUCGCUUUGGCACUAGAUUCCAAGCUUGAUUUAGCUCCGCUGCAGUGACCUCUUCUCCCAACUUUGAGCGACUCAGGUUCAUCUGUUUCUUCUUCUAUGGUUGCGUUGGCGUAUUUAGGAUUUUGCUUCCGGAUUCUUGUUGACCUCCUUAGUUGUGAUUGUGGAGUUAAUACUUCCACUUCACUAGGUCUAUCUUCUUCUGGUUGUUGAUAUACGCCAGGUUGCCAAGGGUUUUGGGGCACUGCUUGCUCAACACCAUCACCAUCAAGGGAAUCCUUAGACUCAUAUGGUCUCGAUUGGAUUCGAACAGUUUGCUCCCCCAUCUUCUGUUGCAGCUUAUCUUCAAUCUCUCUCUAAUCAGGCAAUGCCUCUUUUUUUUAAGACCACCAAGAAGAUGCUUCAUCAAACACCACAUCUCGUGAUGUGAAACAUUUUCCAAUCGUAGGAUCACAACAUUUCCACAUUUUUCUUUGGCUGUCGUAUCCCACAAAGAUACAUCGGACUACCUUCUUGUCAAACUUGCUACGUAGGUAACUUGGAACAAAUACGUAGCAGACACAGCCAAAUACUCGAAAGUAACUAACUGUAGGUUUCAUAUCCCACAGUUUUUCAAAGGGUGAGACAAAUUCUAACCUUGGUUGAGGAAGCCUAUUGAUCACAUGAGCUGCAGUUCUCAUAGCUUCGGCCCAAAACUUUUCUGGUACAUUCUUGGCAUGGAGCAUACUUCGACAUAUUUCUACAAGAUGCCGAUUCUUUCCUUCCACUACGCCAUUCUGUUGUGGCGUGUUGGCACAUGUGAUGACGUAUUCUACAGUGUCUUAGAUACUAGGAAAACUCAUUCAAGGUAUAUUCUUCUCCAUUAUCCAUGCAUAUGCAACAUAUCUUCUGUUUGUACCAUACUUGACCAAUCCCGAAACUACCGAGCACCAGCCAACCCUAUACUGUCAAGGACCCAGAAGAGUUCCCCUCCGACCAGGAGGCCAAUCACUACUCGACACGUGUCAAGAUUAGAAGCCAAUCAGAGCGCAGCACGUGUCGACAUCAAGAACCAAUCAUAACAUGACACAUGUCAAUGUGACAAAGCUACAAGUUUUUCUAUAAAUAGGGGUCAUUCCCCCACAAUAUUGCCUAAUGCCAUUUUGUGUUAAAUCAUUCACAAGAACUCACUAAAUUGAGAGCUUGAUCCUUUGUACUUGUGUAAGCCCUUCACUACUAAUAAGAACUCCUCUACUCCGUGGACGUAGCCAAUCUGGGUGAACCACGUACAUCCUGUGUUUGCUUCUCUGUCUGUCUCUAUUCAUUUACGUACUUAUCCUCACUAGUGACGGAAGCAAACCAAGCGAAGGUCACAAAACCUGACACUUUCUGUUGUACCAAAGUCUUCGCUGAUUUUGUGCAUCAUCAACAUUUGGCGCCGUCUGUGGGAAACGACACUUAUUCCUACUCUCUUCAGCUGUGUCAAGCUGGUUUCUAUCAUUCGUACACUUUCUUUUGAUCUGGCAUCCCUCUCCAGCAUGGGAAGCGAAGAAAGCCACAGCACACAGAAUGACACCCCCCUUGCACAUAGUGCGAAAACAACGAAAGAAGGAAGGAAAACGAGUUCUUCUUCAAGCUAAAGUCGAUGAGUUGGAAGCUCAGAACAACAAGAUAGCAAUGAGGAAUGAGGUCCUCCAGGAGCAAUAUGAGAAGCUCUUCGAGACACUUCACGAAGCUAGGCAAGCUCAGACACGCGAGCUUGUUGCCCCCGUGGAAGUCAACCAUCAACUGGGUGCCCUCCAACAUGGAGGGUCACAUGCAUUCGACAUAGAUAUCCCUGAUAGGGAACAAAUUACCCCUCGAUUUGAUAAUCAACAUGAGGCUUCUCUUAACCCAGUUGCUUCGACCCGAACCAUGAGAAGCGGAGGGAGACACCUCUUUGCUGAAGGGGCAGAAGGAUCGAAAGCCGUCUUUCGCGAUUGUCGGGAUUUCCUGAAGCAACGUCGAGAGAAUUCCAUCCAUAUAAGCUCAAAGAUCAAUGACCCAAGGAUUUCUGAGAGACUCGGUCCCCUGCCACGGCCCGAGCCGGCCACCAACUUGGGGAAGGGGCAACAAGUCCUAGAGAGACAUGAGGGUACAGAGGACUCAGAGGUGUUCCGACAGACAUACCCUGGAAGCCAGUACAGCGAGUCCAGGGAAAAAUCACAUGCCCUUGAUCAAACCUUCCCUAAUUCCAAGAGGAGAUGGAGAUUUACGAAAGAAAGCUCCAGUGGCACAUAACUCCGCUCAGGACCCCCUUGUCCUACAACUUCUUGAGGAAGUAAACAAGUUGAAGGCUGAACGUCAGGCUGAAAUACCUGACUGGAACCAACCCAGGCCUGGCCCUCUUACAAGGAGGAUCCUCAACACCCCCUUCAAGCAAAGACAAAGCAGAAGCUUGGCUUGCAACUUUAUACUGGGAAAGAGGACCCGAUUGAGCACCUUAACCUCUUUGAGUCCACCAUGGCAUACCGGAUGCACACCGACGAAGAGCGAUGUCUUCUCUUCCCCUCCACCCUCUCUGGCGGGAGCUCUAAAUUGAUGACCUGUACACUAUCCGCCAGAAGCCAGACGAGUCAUUACGUAUGUAUGCUGGCCGCUUCAGCCAUGAAUACUCCCGGGUGUGCCGAGGCAGACGACAAGACUGCCCUCAAAGCCUUCACGGCAGGCCUACGUGAUUGUUUCUUUAAAUAUACAUGAUCAAUGCCAAUACUUGGAAGACUUACUCUGAGGUGAUGGCGCAGGCUUAUAACCAUGCCUCCGCCGAAGCAAAGAACAUAUCAGGAGAAACCCCCCUACAACCAUCCUUUAUCAACAAGUGGGAGGUGGGAAGCCAGACUCACCUAAAUGAGAAGACCUCGACUUUCCCAAACAGCUUCAUCCAAAAAGCUUCACCCGAAAAGCUUCACCUCCAAAACUUCACCCAAAAAGCUUCAUCCAAAAAGUUUCACCCAAAAAGCUUCACCUAAAAAAAGCUUCACCCAAAGAAAAAAAAAAAAAAAAAAAAAAACUUCACCUCCAAAAAGCUUCACCCAAACAGCUUCAUCUAAAAAAGCUUCACCCACAAAGCUUCACCUAAAAAGCUUCACCCACAAAGCUUCACCCAAAAAACUUCACCCGAAAAGCUUCACUUAAAAAAGCUUCACCUACACAGCUUCACCUAAAAAAGCUUCACCUAGAAAGCUCCCUACUACAUACUUUUCACCAUCAAAGCUUCACCAUCAAAGCUUCACCUAGAAAGCUUCAUCUACAAAGCUUCAUCUACAAAGCUUCACCAUCAAAGCUUCAUCCAAAAAGUUUCACCCAAAAAGCUUCACCUAAAAAAGCUUCACCCAAAAAAAAAAAAAAAAAAACUUCACCUCCAAAAAGCUUCACCCCAAACAGCUUCACCUAAAAAAGCUUCACCCACAAAGCUUCACCUAAAAAAGCUUCACCCACAAAGCUUCACCCAAAAAACUUCACCCGAAAAGCUUCACUUAAAAAAGCUUCACCUAAAAAAAGCUUCACCUAGAAAGCUCCCUCUACAUACUUUCACCAUCAAAGCUUCACCAUCAAAGCUUCACCUAGAAAGCUUCAUCUACAAAGCUUCAUCUACAAAGCUUCACCAUCAAAGCUUCACCUAGAAAGCUUCAACACCAAAGCUUCACCUACAAAGCUUCAACACAAAACCUUGCUCCAAAUAAACAAAUUUUGUUCACAAAACCCAAGAUGCCCUUGAACUUGUACAAAAACACUUGGGUAAACAUAAACAUUUUUUUUUUACACCCACAAGGGCCCAAAAUUUUCCUUCUUAUUUAUUCACUUAUAUAUGUUCCCAAACAUAUUUAUAAUAGAUCCAACAACAAGCCAAAGUCCCAAGUUUCAUAAUGGACAAAAGUACAAGCAAUUCAUCAAUAAUGAAGGUGCUACAAAAAUUGGAAUCUGCCCCAAAAUAGAAAUCCAACCCAAGAGACUUUUUCUCUCUCUCCCUCUUCCGCCUCCUUUCAUCUAUCAAAUUUCUGCAACCUCUGCUCUUCUCCAAUGGAGCUGAAUUUUGGACACCCUAUAGUUCUUGAGCAUAUGAACAACUUUCAAGAAGGAACCAUUUCUGUUUGAGCGACGGAAAUUAAAGUGUUGAAGCUCCAAACAUGACAGUCGGAUUCUUGCAGAUUUCGAAGCUGCUGUGAUGUUUCGAAGAUAUGGAAAUAUUUAACCAUUAGUUCAUUCUGAAUUUUUGAUAUGUUAUGAAAGAGACGAUGAGGAACAACUUCAAUUAAGAAAGCAUACCGAUCUGAACAAGAGAAAAUAGAGUUUCAAAGCUCACAACAAAUCUGACGGGUUGACAGAAAAAUAAUAACCAGUCAUUCAUCAUACCUGGAUUUCUGGAGUUAUACUGCUCCGAGGGAUCUCAAAUUUGGAUAUGUUGUAGUUCCCAAGCUGAGGAACAACUUCAAUGAAGAAAGCAUGCUGAUCUGAGCAAGAGAAAAUAGAGUUUCAAAGCUCACAACAAAUCUGACGGGUUGACAGAAAAAUAAUAACCAGUCAUUCAUCAUACCUGGAUUUCUGGAGUUAUACUGCUCCGAGGGAUCUCAAAUUUGGAUAUGUUGUAGUUCACAAGCUGAGGAACAACUUCAAUGAAGAAAGCAUGCUGAUCUGAGCAAGAGAAAAUAGAGUUUCAAAGCUCACAACAAAUCUGACGGGUUGACAGACAAAUGAUAAACAGUCACUCAUCAUACCUGCUGAUUUCUGGAGUUAUACUGCUCCGAGGGACCUCAAAUUUGGAUAUGUUGUAGUUCACAAGUUAAGGAACAACUUCGAUGAAGAAAGUAUGUUGAUCUGAGCAAGAGAAAAUGGAGUUUUUGAAGCUCACAACAAGUCUGACGCGUUGAUAUACAAAUGACGAACAAUCACUCAUCAUACCUGAAUUUCUGGAGUUGUACUGCUCCGAUGGAUCUCCAAUUCGGAUAUGUUGUAGUUCACGAGCUAAGGAACAACUUUCAUGAAGAUGGUUUUGCGAUCUGAGCCACAGAAAAUGGUGUUAUAUUGAAGAAAAGCUAAAGGAAGACUAAAGGAAAGCAAAAAUGGUAAAGCAAAGUAAAAAAAAAAAAGCUAAAGGAAGACAAAAUCAUGGCACAUGAUAAUGAGUCAUACCCUACCCCUCAUUGGAUUCGAAUACACCCAUCCUCCAAAAUCAUGACAAAGGCCACAUUAUAGAUAUCUGUAUAAACAUUCCAAAGAAAAAGAGAGGGAGUAAAAAAAAAAAAAAAAAAAAAAAAAAAAGGGCCUAGGCCUCCACUUCUUUGGGCCUAACACAUCUUCAUAACAAAAAAAAAACAAUAUAUGAAGAAAGAGCCCUGGGUUACCACUUCGAAAAGAAACAAGUGAAGUUUUCCUACUCAUGACAUUGACUACUAGCUAGACACCUCAUUCGGCAACUCUCUUCGCCUGAAGACUUGGGGACUCCCACCAUAUGCUACUGCACCUUGAUACUCGGCAGUCUCACAACCACUCAGUGACUUGGAUUUUUCAAGUCUCCAACCGAGAAGUUUUCCUCACUCGGGAAAUUAAGGGAACACUACCUCAAACUACAUGCUUCACUCACAAAGCUUCAACAAUACAGGUUUCAACAAAAGCAAAAAUUCAAAGAAACUUUAUGAAGAAGGCUUUGGUGUAUUUAACACAAUAUAUUGAAAUGAAGCAAAGCUUAUUUAUUAAUAUUUUCGAUAAGCCACAAAUAUGUACAUAUACAUGAGUCAAAAUAAACAAACAAAAGGGAGCCUUCACAAAGGUUGCUUAGGGGAAGUCUCAGCAGUCGGUAGAGCCCCAGAAAGAGAAAGCACCGGAGAGAGUGGUUAUCCGGAGCCUCAGUACUUGACAAAACCCCAGAAGGAGGAGGCAUUGGAGGUUCAUCAUUUGAAGCUUCAUUACCAGGUACAGCCCCAGAGGACGAAGGCAAUAAAUGCCUUUGGAACAAACCCACAAACCGCUGAUGAUCAAGUAAAACCUUACCAUCAGAUUCCUUCAUCUGGUCAAGCUUCCUCUUCAUGUUUGUAGCAUAGUCAUGGGCGAGCCGGUGCAACUGCUUAUUCUCAUGCUUGAGCCCUCUAAUCUCCUGUUUGAGACUCAUCACUUCAGCAGCCAAUGAUUCAACUUGGUGGGUUCUAGCAAAUAGGCGUUGGGCCAUAUUAGACACAGAACCUGCACACUGAACACUAAGAGCCAGAGAGUCCUUAACAGCCAACUCAUCAGACCGUUUGGAAAGUAGUCUGUUAUCUUUGGGAGUGAGAAGGUUCCUGGCCACCACUGCAGCGGUCAUAUCAUUCUUCAUCACAGAAUCCCCAACGGUAAGAGGACCAGUAGGGGAUAUGAAUGAUGGGCGCCAUAUGUUGUCUGGAGAAGGCGUGGCUGUCUCUUCUCCAAGGUUCAGGUCAAAACGACGGUCGGAGGGUCCAGACAUUUUCAAAUGUGUUGAAGAAGGAAGAGGUCAGACAAAUCAAGAUCUUAGAAGUGCAAGAAAUGAGCUUCUACUGGUAGAGAUUCAGAUGUGCUGUGGAACUUAAUGCCAGCCUCUAUAAAAAUCUGCACUCGACGGAGCUUCAGAAAUCGAAGAGGCGUUUGCUUUCUCAAAAGCUGGGCUGCUCAGAGACCACGAGGGCCGAUCUCAGAAAUCGAAGAGGCGUUUGCUUUCUCAAAAGCUGGGCUGCUCAGAGACCACGAGGGCCGAUCUCAGAAAUCGAAGAAGCACCUGCUUUUUUCAGCCUCGUCAGCACCUGUCACAUUGCACAAUCAGCUUUGCGAAAAUUACGGGCAAUCUGUCGAAGAUUUCUGGUGAAGUAAAAAGCACGUGAAUCUUACUGUUCAAUCACCGCUCUCCAUAUGCACCAUCAACUCCUCGGGUACCACAUAUAACUUUGUCAAAGAUCUCUGACAAAGUUUAGGCACGAGAAUUUCGAAGUUCCAGCUACCCUACUAUUACCCAUAAGGGUAAAGGAACAGCACCACUGCUUGACAACUGGAAAGUCCCUAUGUGUGUCGACCUCCGUGUUUUGCGGCAAGACAGGUUGGCAAGAACGUCCAACCUUUACUCACAUUCGAGAAAAGACUCCCAACAUAAUUACUUUCUCAAAAACCGGAGUAGCACCGCUUUCCGAAUCUCGAGAGUCAGAUCCUCGACGGGAUUGCUUGUUCGAAAACCGAAGAGGCACAACUCUCAGAACUUCGAGAGCCAGAUUUCCUUAGAUAAAGCUUGUCUGUAAUCUUCACACGUAACAUCAGCUUUCCAGAUACCACAUACCACUUUUUUCAAAGUGCUCUGACAAAAUUAAAACACGUGAAGCUGGCAGCUCCCACUACAUUGCUGUGACCAAGAAGGGUAAAGGAAUAGCAUUACUACUUGUUAUUGGGAAAUCCCUAUAUACAUUGACCUCCCUCCUCAACGGACAGGCAAACCUGCAAAAAUGCUCAACCCUUUCUCGCAUUCGAAAAGGCACCCUCAACAUAACCUCUCGAAAUACUCAGCUUUAUUUCCCCCCGAUAAUACCUCAGCAAAUAAGCCACACCAAGAACAAGAGUAUCUCAUAUCAUCAGGGUCGAAAGCAAGAGUAUCCCAUAUCAUGCUUUCUCCCUAUCUUUGUCUUUGUCCUUGUCCACACCUGCAGGACAAGGAGAAAGAGAGCAGUCAGUCGGAACCUGAAAUCAAACCUCCAAUUUGGAACUGACUGCCUGGAGCCUUUGCCUGGUUGCUUACUUAGCAUUGCUCUCGAGUACUCAUCCUCAACUGCUGUCAAGGUCACGAAUUCCACCGGCAAAUACCUCAUGACAGUUGAUCAGAUAUUGGCUCUUUACACUGAAGCUGCCAAGCGUGGAUGAGUCACUAUGAAGGAAUGUUCUGAAGGACCAUUUAAAUGCAAAGGUUGCACACCACUUCUGCCAUGCAAAAGAUUGAAGCAGAAGGUUCAACGGUGAGCUGAAACAGAUCACUACAGCACGACACCUUUCCAUACCACAUUCAUUAUUCCAUCCGUCAACAGCAAAAGUAUCUCAUAUCAUCAAGGUCGAACGUACUCUAGAUUUGAUGGACUUGUUUUGACCCUCAAAUUUUUGAGUCAGCCUUAUACUCUGAAGGGCACCAGAAAACCCUCCAGCACAGUUCAAGAAUAAGCCUGUGGAAAGUUACUUCUUCAAAAGCAAAAGUAUCUCAUAUCAUCUCUUAUCCAUUUGCUUCUCCUUAUCCUGGCAGUUGAAUGAGAGACAAGGAGAAGGAGAACAAUCAACCGGAAGCCGAAGUCAAACCUCUGAUCCUGGGUUGCUUACUUGGAAGUUUGACUGCUUACCUUGUCUGUCACCUCUUUCGGCAGAUCUCCUAGCUCGGCGACUUGGGGGGACUCCUACUAUAGGGUUUGUAUCACACUUGACUAAGCCCGAAACUACAACUAAGCUUCAAGUGAAAUUGAUACAUUACCUUGUGCGUCAACAUCAGCUAAAUACACAAUUCCCGGAUGGAGGAAAGGUACUUCCAGAGAAGGGCAGAUGAAGAUCAGACCACACUUCGGUACUUAGAAGUUUCGUGAUUACUCAAGGGAUUGGAUCUUGCAAGUCCCCAACCGAGGAGUUUCCCUCACUCGGGAACUUAGGGGAGCACUGUUUGUACCAUACUUGACCAAUCCCGAAACUACCGAGCACCGGCCAACGCUAUACUAUACUGUCAAGGACCCAGAAGAGUUCCCCUCCGACCAGGAGGCCAAUCACUACUCGACACGUGUCAAGAUUAGAAGCCAAUCAGAGCGCAGCACGUGUCGACAUCAAGAACCAAUCAUAACAUGACACAUGUCAAUGUGACAAAGCUACAAGUUUUUCUAUAAAUAGGGGCCAUUCCCCCACAAUAUUGCCUAAUGCCAUUUUGUGUUAAAUCAUUCACAAGAACUCACUAAAUUGAGAGCUUGAUCCUUUGUACUUGUGUAAGCCCUUCACUACUAAUAAGAACUCCUCUACUCCGUGGACGUAGCCAAUCUGGGUGAACCACGUACAUCCUGUGUUUGCUUCUCUGUCUCUAUUCAUUUACGUACUUAUCCUCACUAGUGACGGAAGCAACCAAGCGAAGGUCACAAAACCUGACACUUUCUGUUGUACCAAAGUCUUCGCUGAUUUUGUGCAUCAACAUCUUCUUUCCCCACUUCUCCUUCAACUGUCUCUUUAAACUCUUUAAAUUUUGAAAAUGUUUCAGAUUUUUCUUUCAUAAAGAAAACCCACACAUACCUAGAGAAGUCAUCAAUUAACGUCACCAUGUAUUGCAUCUCACUUAUCGAUGGUUGCUUGACGGGCUCGAACAUAUCGAAAUGAACCAACUCCAACGGCUCUUUCGCUUUAAACUUUGACUCUUCGUAUGGUAGUUGAUGUGCUUUACCAUACCGGCAUCCUGCACAAACCAUGUCUGUUCUCACGUCAAGUUAAGGUAGCCCCUUAAGCAUUGACUUCUUCAUCAUCACAUUUAGCUUGUGAUAGCUAACGUGACCCAAUCUCAUGUGCUAUAAAUCUGCUAUCUCGUUCUUCUUUGUCUUGUUUACGUAUGCAGUUUCUGCUGACAUUACAUAGACUGCAAUCAUCAUCCCUCCAUUGUUGGCGUCCCUAAGAUCUUGAGGUGUCGAUACACCUUCACAUCUCGUGGACCAAACAAGACAUAAUUUCCUAAUGACGUUAGUUGCGGCACUAAAAGUAAAUUUUUCUUCAUACCUGGAACAUGGUAGACAUCUUGACGCGGCACAUGGUUAGUGUUGUAUCAGGGCUCAAUUAUUAUUUUACAUAUGUGAGCAAUUGGUAGCCUCGAGUCUUUGGCCGUCACUACCAAGCAGCCUCCUUUGCACUCAGUCAGACUUUGUAACUUUUGCUCAUCACCUGUCAUAUGGUUUAAGCAGCCUGAAUCCACGAUCUAAUCAUUCUGGUAGUCAAUCGACUCCGGAUUUGCUACUGUGAGAGCUGACUCUUGCUUCUCCAUAGCAACGAAUGCUUCAGCGUCCCAUUCUUCCUCCAGGGCUAGAGAUGUAACGACGUCCUAAUCAUCUUCAAUUUUCUCCUUUGAGCUGGCGACAUUACUCUUUACAAACUUUUUGAACCAGCAAUCAUUUGCCAUGUGACCCUUCUUACCACAAUUGUAACAUUUUCCCUCAAACCUUUUAUUAUUCUGGGACUGACCACGAUUGUCGUCAUACUUUAGAGCUCCCCUUAGUCAAGAACUCCCUUCUCCUUGAUAAUCUUUUUCCUUGUCACCAUUUCUUUUAAAUCCACCAUCAGCACGCUGCUUAAAGCUGCCUUUACUUUUGGUGUAGAGCGCUUCAUCCUCACCUCUUAAUGAGACCCCUCCCAUUUGCUUUGCCAAAGCUUAUUGAUCGGCAAGCAAAUUCUUAAACUCAACAAGUGAUGGUUGGGCUGGCCAUCCUUGUACAGCGGCAACGAAGCCUUGAUAUUCGGGUCUUAAUCCAUGGAUAAUUAUUCUUUUUAUCCAGGAUUCUACAAUGGCAGCACUAGGAUCUAACUCAGAAAUUUCACGACAAAUAGACUUUACCUUAUGGAAAUAUUCGGCAAUCGUCAUGUUUCGUUAGGUCACUGAUAAUAACUCAUUCUCAAGAAGUUGCAGCCUUGUGUCAUUCUUCUUUGAAAAGAGUGUGGCGAAGGUGUCCCAACUUCUUUCGGUGUCUUGGCCUUCCGUAUGUGCUCCAACAUGUCAUCUUUAACUGUGGUUUUUAAGGCAAACAUAGCCUUACCUGCCUUGAUCUUCCACUUCCUCAAAGUGCAGCUGGUGUCUUUUUCCGGCUAUGUAACUUCAUUACCGCCAACAACAUCUCAAAGAUCUUGGCCUUGUAGGUAAGACUCCAUACACGUCGCCCAUGUGUUGUAAUUUUUGUUGUUCAACUUCUUGGUUGCUCCAACAACUUGAAGAUCUCCCAUCAUGUCGGCAUAGCUUCGAUAAGCCGAACAAGAUUAACUAAUAAUCUUGCAAAGUCCUAAACUUCUCACGAUUCUAAAAAACUUCACUAGAGACGGUCCCUGAUCGUACCGUUCGGAUACCAAUUGUUGAGGAAAAACUUAGAGCACACAACUCUAACACAUGUGUUGGAGAGGCAACACAAGUAAACAAAUUACUUGUAUUACACACACAAAAUAUUACAACACACAAACUCUUAAGGACACUCUUUAGAAGCUAUGACACUCACUCACUUUCUAGAGACAAACUCUAGAUCACUCACACUCCUCACAAGACUACUCUUACUUCUCACUCUCACUUGAUUGCCUACCUCUUCUUAGUUGGUUCUUUCUUACUUGAUUACAUUACAACACACAUACAUACAUAUUUAUGGCAUGUUUGCCGACUUCACUAGCACUUUCUAGUGCAUGUUACUGCACCCACAUAUGGCUUUGCAUAAUAGCCUUGCCGACUUAAAUGAGGCUAGAAUUUUCUAGCAUAUUAUGCAUGUCCACCGACUUAACAUGCAAAUUUGAACUAGAAUGGUCUAGUUCAUUUGCAACUGGACAAAGUCCUCUAGAAGCUUAAGCCUUCCAAGUUUGCUGCUUGUAUUUGCUAGACUUUUCUAGAAUCCAAAUAUCAAUUGGGCUGGUGUUGAUCUUCAACAUAUAUACGGCGUAUAUGUAUGUACAUAUUUAGACUGCGUGGCUUCAUCUUCACGUUCUUUGCUGAAUUAAGUCCACCUAUCCCGAAUCACAUACACAGAUAUUGACAUACGUAGCACGCUUAAAAGUGAGUGGCAAAUACUAUAGCCUAUACGUGAGGCAAUCUUCUCACCGUUUUCUUCAUAUAGUAUAAAGACAGCAUCGGCCUUAGCUAAAAAGUGAGACCUUAGGCAACCACCUUAUUUACCUCCCCCUUCGUCAUUUUACCUAAAAUUUCAUCACGUGAUUAGUAAGCUUGAUGAGAGAUAAACAAUAUUUAUGAACAGAACUUCUCUGAAUUACUACACUACCUACACACAUACACAACUUGUGAAUAAUAUUGACAUGGUGUGUAUUUAGGUCUAAUAUAUUGCUCGACCUGUAAUGACAUAUAACUGGAUAUAUUGAAUAUCAUGUCUAUGCAUUCGACUCGUUUGGGGUUAGCUUUGUUUGUAAUUGUACAUAGUUGUUGGUCAUAUAAAAGUAGUCUUCAUUAUAUGACUGGUUAACGUAACGAAGGAGAUAAAUACAUAUGAGCUAGUGUAUUUAUGAUUGUAUGUGACUUGUGCUAUAGAGGUAUUUCUCCCUAUUCUAUAGCGUAGAAAACAUCGACUAGCACAACAUGUUAGUUGAUUUAUAUCAUUUCCGUGGAUCUAAUUACCUACUAGUAGCUAGGGAAGGCACCUAAAUUAUCAUCCACUACUAGUUUGUACUAUACCUUAGUAUAUUAUUGCAUGAACAUGGUUUUCUUGUUAAUUAUAGGCAAAUUAGCAACUUCAUUAAUUCUUGCAUUCAUUUCAGCCGUCCAGAAGAAAUAUAUAUAUUUUUUCACCAUUUGUACAAGCCGAAUUGACUUGGGUCAACGUUGUCAAUUUCCAAGCCAAUUGGAAUAUAUUAGGGUUUUUCACUCGCACUUUGAAAACGAUAUAUGGGAAGCCAAUCAAUUAUUCUCCACUUCAUUUUUCAGUAGUGGAGACAUGCUGGAAUGGCAGCCCAAUCAUCACGUUUUCUAUGAUUUUACUCCUCCAAAACAAAUAUAUAUGAUUAGCGGAUCCUUAUGAAGGUGAUAAAUCAAUCUAUUGAUUUGUUAAUGGAUACUCAUUAAGACUCGUUUAAUUUUGAUAUCAUCAUAAUAUAUAGGUGUGAAUGGUAGCAGUGAUGAUGUUGUUAGGUGAAGUCAAACUACAUAAGUCUUAAUGGGGUACUCAUUAACAAUCCAAUGAGUUGGUUUGCCACCUCUAGAUCCAUACACGAUUGUUAGACAAUAUUUUUAAGGUCCACUCCAACUACUUUUAGGUCUUCCUUGAAAAAUCAUGUUUAUAAAAAAAUUACCAAAUAUAAAACCAUGUAAUGGUUGGAAUACGGUUGGAAUAAGACUUUAAGGCCGUAUUUGGUAAUUUAUUUUCACUACAAAUGAAUAUAUAUUAAUAGUUUUAAAUUUAAUUAAUAUUUUAUAAAAAUGAUCAAUGAAUGAUGUUCUAAAUUGAUCCUAUACAUUUAUGGAAUAGGCCCUAUAAAAACUUUUGCAAAAUGGUGAAGUAAAAAAAAAUGAUACGGAUCCGUCCCAUAUAAAUUAAAUUAUUAAUUUACUACGUGGUAACCCACCCACCCCAAAAUCCACACCACCCCACUAUAACGUACUCCACAAGUUAUAUAGAAGUCCGCAAUCUAAUAUUGAUGCAUUCAUUUCCUUAUCCCAUGUAAAUCUUUGGCAUGCUAUUGCUUAUUAUUGUUUCCAAUUCUAACGUUGAAAUAGCAAAAUACGUCUCAUCGAUUGUUCAUAUUAAAAAUUCGACAACAUACUAUGAUUAAAUACAAGACUAUCAAUAUUUUGAAUUCAAGAGUUUGAGAAAAUAUUAUGAUUAAAACGAAGACUUGUAUGAUAGGAUAUUAUUUUUUUGGCGUAAUCGUACAACAUGAACAAUAAAUUUAUGAGUUUAUUUGGUGCAUAAUUUUGGCACACUUGCACCCAACAAAUAAUUGAGUCCACGAAGACCACACCCAGCACCAAAUUAAAAUGAUUGGAUGAAAAUUAACACCCAUCAAGGUUUAUUCAAUUCAAUACUACAUAUAAAUACUACUUCUUUAUAAAUCUAUUAUGUACUUGACUAUCCUCACUAAUAAAGCAAUAUUAGCACAAUAAUAAAUAGAAAUUUUCUUUUACUUAUGUUGAUGCACAAAAUUAGUGAGGACUUUGGUACAACAGAAAGUGUUAAGUUUGUGACCUUCGCUAGAUUGCUCCGGUCACUAGUGUGGAUAAGUAUGUAAAUGGAUAGAAACAGGGAAGCAAACACAAGAUGUACGUGGUUCACCCAGAUUGGCUACGUCCACAGAGUAGACGAGUUCUCAUUAAAACAAGUACAUAUGUUCAAGCUCUCCUUUAGUGAGUAUAAGUGAAUGAUUUAGUACAAAUGACAUUAGGAAAUAUUGUGAGAAAAUGAUCUCUAUUUAUAGAAGAGAGUUUCUAGUUUCAUUCUGACAUUGACACGUGCUGUGUUGUGAUUGGCUUUUGAUGUUGACACGUGUCGCACUAUGAUUGACUUCUGAUGUCGACACGUGUCGCGCUGUGAUUGGUCUCCUGAUUGGAGGGAAACUCUUUUGGGUCAUUGACGGUAUAACGUUGACUGGUGCUCAAUAGUUUCGGAAUUAGUCAAGUAUGGUACAAACAGUGCUCCCUUAAGUUCUCGAGUGAGGGAAGCUCCUCGGUUGAGGACUUGCAAGAUCCAAGCCAUUGAGUAAUCACGAAACUUCUAAGUACCGAAGUGUAAUAUCAUUUUCACUUGCCUUAUCUGUCUUAUAUGUAGAUGUGAGAUCUUCUUUGGAAGUACUUUUCCUCCAUCUAGGGGUGGUAUCUUUAACCGAUGAAGAUGCACAAGGUAAUGUAUCAAUUUCACUUGAAGCUUACUUGUAGUUUCGGGCUUGGUCAAGUGCGAUACAAACCCUAUAGUAGGAGUCCCCCAAGUCGCCGAGCUAGGAGAUUUUCCGAAUGAGGUAACAUACAAGGUAAGCAAUCAGACUUCCAAGCAAGCAACCUGGAUCGGAGGUUCGACUUUGGCUUCUGGUUGAUUGUUCUCCUUCUCCUUAUGUUGUAAACAGCAACAAGGAUAAGGAAAAGCAAAUGGAGAAGAGAUGAUAUGAGAUACUUUUGCUUUUGAAGAAGUAACUUUCCACAGGCUUAUUCUUGAAUUGGGCUGGUGGGUUUUCUGGUUUCCUCCAGAGUAUAAAGCCGACUUAAGAAUUUGAGGGUCAAAACAAGUCCAUCAAAUCUAGAGUACAUUCGACCCUGAUGAUAUUUGAUACUUUUGCUGUUGACAAAGUAGUGGAUGUAUCAGCACAUGUUCUGUUACGCUUGUCUCCAUAUGCUUCAUUGUAUCCUUCUCACUUGCCCUAUUUGUUCCUCAGACAAAUGUGGUAUCUUCUCUGGAAGCAUAAGAUGUUGAAGAUGAGUACUCGAGAGAAAUGCCAGGUAAGUAAUCAGGCAAGGGGUUCCAUGCAGUCAGUUCCUGACUGGAAGCUUGAUUCCAAGUGCUGACUGAUUGCUCUCUUUCUCCUUGUCUUGCAGGUAAGAACAAGGCCAAAGGAAAAGACAGGGAAAAAGCAUGAUAUGGGAUACUCUUGCUUUUAACCCUGAUGAUAUGAGAUACUCUUGCUCUGGUGUGGCUUGUUUGCAGAGGUAUUAUCGGGAGGAAAAGAAGCUGAGUAUUUCAAGAGACUCUGCUGAGAGUGCCCUUUCGGAUGUGAAGAAAAGUUGAGCAUUUUUUUUAUUUGCAGGUUUGCCUGGCUGUGGAGGAUGGAGGUCGACAUAUAUAGGAGUCUCCCUAACAACAAGUAGUAGUGCUAUUCCUUUACCCUUCUUGGUCAUAGCAAUGUAGUGGGAGCUACAAGCUUCACGUGUUUUAACUUUGUCAGAGCACUUUGAAAAAGUGGUCUGUGGUAUCUGGAAAACUGAUGUUGUGUGUGAAGAUUGCAGACAAGCUUUAUCCAAGAAAAUUUGGCUCUCGAAGUUCGGAGAGCGGUACCUCUUCAGUUUUCGAACAAGCAAUCUUGUCGGGGAUCUUGCUCUCGAGAUUUAGAGAAUGGUGCCUCUUCGAUUUUUGACAAAGCAAUCUUGUUGGGAGUCGGACUCUUGAGAUUCGAAGAGCAAUGUCUCUUCGAUUUUUAAGAAAGUAAUCAUGUUGGGAGUUUGGCUCUCUAGAUUCGGAGGGCAGUGCCUCUUCGAUUUUUCAGCACAUAAUCAUGUUGGGAGUCUGGCUCUCGAGAUUUAGAGAGCGGUGCUUCUUCGAUUUUUGAGAAAGUAAUCCUGUUGGGAGUCUAACUCUUGAGAUUCGGAGAGCAGUGUUUCUUCGAUUUUUGAAAAAGUAAUCCUGUUGGGAGUCUGGCUCUCGAGAUUCGGAGGGCGAUGCCUCUUCAAUUUUUGAGCACAUAAUCCUGUUGGGAGUCUAGCUCUCGAGAUUCGGAGAGCGGUGCCUCUUCGAUUUUUGAGCAAGCAAUCUUGUUGGGGGUGUUUUCUCGAAUGUGAGUAAAGGUUGGGGAUUUUUGCCAGUCUGUCUUGCCACGGAGCACGAACGUUGACACACAUUGGGGCUUUCUAGUUAACAAGUAGUGGUGUUGUUCCUUUACCCUUGUGGGUAAUAGUAGGGUAGCUGGACCUUCGAAAUUUAUGUGUCUAACCUUUGUCAGAGAUCUUUGGCAAAGUUAUCUAUGGUACCCAAGAAGCUGAUGUUGCGUGUGGAAAGUUAUGCCUUUUCGGAAUCUAGAGAGUGGUGCCUCUUCGAUUUUUGAACCAACGGCCAUGUUGCCUUUUCUUUUAUAAGGGCACCAAUUAUGUGCAAGAAGUACAUUCAAAGAAUUAUUACUUGUAGGAAUUUUCCCCUUACUUCAGAGAUUUAUUGCACCUCAUUUCUCCUUCAUCAUUUCUGAGAAUGUCUGGCCCAUCCGACCGUCGUUUUGACUUGAACUUUGGUGAAGAGGCAGCCAUGCCUUCUCAAGACAACAUAUGGCGCUCAUCCUUCUUAUCCCCUACUGGUCCUCUUACCGUUAGGGACUCUGUGAUGAAGAAUGAUAUGACCACUGCGGUGAUGGUCAAUAACCUUCUCACUCCCAAAGAUAACAGACUACUUUCCAAACGAUCUGACGAGUUGGCUGUUAAGGAUUCUCUAGCUCUCAGUGUUCAGUGUGCAAGUUCUGUGUCUAAUAUGGCACAACGUCUAUUUGCUCGAACCUGCCAAGUUGAAUCAUUGGCGGCUGAAGUGAUAAGUCGCAAACAAGAGAUCAGAUGGCUCAAGCAUGAGAAUAAACAGUUGCACAGGCUCGCACAUGACUAUGCUACAAACAUGAAGAGGAAGCUCGACCAGCUGCAGGAAUCUGAUGAUCAAAUUUUACAUGAUCAUCAGAGGUUUGUGGGUUUGUUCCAAAGGCAUUUAUUGCCUUCAUUUUCUGGGGCUAUACCGUGUAAUGAAACUCCAAAUGAUCAACUUUCGAUGCCUCCUUCUUCUAGGGUUCUGCCUAGUACUAAAGCUCCGAAUAAUCACCCUCUGGUGCCUCCUCUUUCUAGGGCUCUGCUGACUGCUGAGACUUCUCCUGAACAACCUUUGUGAAUGAUCCCUCUUGUUUGUUUAUUUUGAUUCAUGUAUAUGUACAUAUUUAUAACUUAUCAGAGAUAUCAAUAAACAAGUUUUGCUUCAUUUGAAUGUAUUGUGUUAAAUACACCAAGGCAUUCUUCACUAAGUUCUUUGAAUUUUUCCUUUUGUUGAAGCUUGUAUGUUGAAGCUUUGUGAGUGAAGCAUGUAGGUUGAGGUAGUGCUCCCUUAAUUUCCCGAGUGAGGAAAACUUCUCUUUUGGAGACUUGAAAAAUCCAAGUCACUAAGUGGUCGUGAGACUUCCGAGUAUCAAGGUGCAGUAGCAUAUGGUAGGAGUCCCACAAGUCUCCGAUCGAGGGAGUUGACGAAUGAGGCAUUUCCUUUCUAAGUGGUAGCCCAAAACUCCUUCUUCAUAUAUAUUUGUUAUGAAAGUUGUUAGGCCCAAAAUGAGGAAGCCUAGGCAAUUUUUUUUUUUCGAAUUUUUGAAUUUUUUAAUUUUCGAAUUUCCGAAAAAAAAAUUAUAUAUAUAUUUUAAAGCUUUGAUGUUGAAGCUUUGUUGGAUACCAUGAAUUGAUUUUGCUUCACACUAUCUUGAUCAAGAUAGUGUGAAGCUUUUGUAGGUGAAGCUUUUGUGUUGAAGCUUUGUAGGUGAAGCUUUUGUGGGUGAAGCUUUUGUGGUGGGUGAAGCCUUUGUUGGUGAAGAUUUUGUGGGUGAAGCUUUUGUGGUGAGGGGGAAGCUUUUGUGGGUGAAGCUUUUGUUGGUGAAGCUUUUAUGAUGGGUGAAGCUUUUGUGGUGGGGAAGCUUUUGUGGGUGAAACUUUUGUGGUGGGGAAGCUUUUGUGGGGAAGCUUUUGUGGGUGAAACUUUUGUGGUGGGGGAAGCUUUUAUGGGUGAAGCUUUUGUUGGUGAAGCUUUUAUGGGUGAAGCUUUUGUGGUAGGUGAAGCUUUUAUGGGUGAAGCUUUUGUCGAUGAAGCUUUUGUCGAUGAAGCUUUUAUGGGUGAAGCUUUUGUAGGUGAAGUUAUUGUGGGUGAAGCUUUUGUAGGUGAAGUUUUGGAGUUGAAGCUUUGUAGGUGAAGCUUUGGAGUUGAAGCUUUUGUUGGGUACCAUGAAUUCAUUUUGCUUCACACUAUCUUGAUCAAGAUAAUGUGAAGCUUUUGAGAAUUUGUAGUUAUCCUCCAUUGAUGAAGCUUUUGUUGGUGAAGCUUUAGAGUUGAAGCUUUUGUUGGGUACCAUGAAUUGAUUUUGCUUCACACUAUCUUGAUCAAGAUAGUGUGAAGCUUUUGAGAAUUUGUAGUUGUCCUCCAUUGAUGAAGCUUUUGUUGGUGAAGCUUUGGAGUUGAAGCUUUUGUUGGGUAAAAUGAAUUGAUUUUGCUUCACACUAUCUUGAUCAAGAUAGUGUGAAGCUUUUGAGAAUUUGUAGUUGUCCUCUAUUGACGAAGCUUUGUUGGUGAAGCUUUUGUGGUGAAGCUUUGUUGGGUACCACGAAUUGAUUUUGCUUCACACUGUCUUGAUCAAGAUAGUGUGAAGCUUUUGAGAAUUUGUAGUUGUCCUCCAUUGAUGAAGCUUUGUUGAAUUUCCCAAUUUUUUUUUUUUUUUUUGGGAAACUAGAAAUUUGAAAAUGUGGGAGAGUCAACAUAUACAAAUUUUUCUUCCACACUGUUGAGCAAGAGAUUGUGAUGCAAGUCACACCUUGUAGUAGUCGAAGGUUUGGAUGAACCAUAUAAAUUGAAUUUGCUUCGAACAGUCUUGAAUUUGUUUCGAAGGUUUGAGAAUUGUAGUUACCCUCCAUUGAUGAAGCUUUUGUUGGCACCAUAAAUUGGUUUUGCUUCACACUGUCUUGAUGAAGAGUGUGUGAAGCUUUUGAGAAUUGUGGUUGAACUCCUUUGAUGAACCUUUUAUUGGCACUAUAAAUUGGUUUUGCUUCACGCUGUCUUGAUUAAUAGUAUGUGAAGCUUUUGAGAACUAUGGUUGCUCUCUAUUGAUGAAGCUCUUGUUGGCACCAUAAAUUGGUUUUGCUUCACAUUGUCUUGAUCAAAAGUGUGUGAAGCUUUCGAGAAUUGUGGUUAAACUCAUUUGAUGAAGCUCUUGUUGGCACCAUAAAUUGGUUUUGCUUCACAUUGUCUUGAUCAAGAGUGUGUGAAGCUUUUGAGAAUUGUGGUUGCCCUCCAUUGAUGAAGCUCUUGUUGGCACCAUAAAUUGGUUUUACUUCGCACUGUCUUGAUCAAGAGUGUGUGAAGCUUUUGAGAAUUGUGGUUGCCCUUCAUUGAUGAAACUCUUGUUGACACUAUAAAUUGGUUUUGCUUCACACUGUCUUGAUCAAGAGUGUGUGAAGCUUUUGAGAAUUAUGGUUGAACUCCUUUGAUGAAGCUCUUGUUGGCACCAUAAAUUGGUUUUGCUUCACACUGUCUUGAUCAAGAGUGUGAAACUUUCUACGAGUUGUAGUGUUUGCAUUGUUACAGAGGGGAAAUGUCUGAAGCAGAUGCAAGAAGGCUGAAUAGCUUGAUCUUUGUAUGUCAUGCACUGAAGUUGUUGUUGGCUUGUAAUAAAACUUUGUUGGUGACUAUAACUCUUGUUGGGCAUAAGUGCUCCCCUAAUUGAGUUGUCAAGUUUAACGGUUUUUGAUUAUUUGUGAAUGCUAGGAGUUCACAUGUACAAGUUGUACCACUCAUCUUUUGGUAGGUGGAAUGAAUGGUGAGUUGCUUUCAUCACUUGGUUGGUGGUACGAAGGUGAGUUCCUUCAUCAUCUUUCAUCACGUUUCAUCACCUGGUUGGUGACACGAGGAUAAGUUCCUUCUUCACCUAGUUGGUGGCAUGAAUGGCAAGUUGCCAAAUGAUAUUAGAGUACGGGUUGUACAUUUCAUCACCUGGUUGGUGGCAUGAAUAUGGGUUCCUUCUUCACCUGGUUGGUGGCAUGAGUGGCAAGUUGCCAAAUGAUAUUAGAGUACUGGUUGUACAUUUCAUCACCUGGUUUGUGGCAUGAAGGAGAGUACAAGUUGUACAUUUCAUCACCUAGUUUGUGGCAUGAAGAUGAGUUCCUUCUUCACCUGGUUGGUGGCAUGAGUGGCAAGUUGCCAAAUGAUAUUAGAGUACGAGUUGUACAUUUCAUCACCUAGUUGGUGGCAUGAAUGAGAGUACGAGUUGUACAUUUCAUCACUUGGUUGGUGGCAUGAAGAUGAGUUCUUUCUUCAUCUUUCAUCACCUGGUUGGUGAGAAUAAGGGCAAGGUGUCAAGGUACAUUGUAGCAAGUGUCGAAGACACAAAGUAUGUUGAACCCUUUCGAAGCACAGUUGGCUUAUGUAUGGAUGUGUUGGAAUGUAUGAUGUUUAUGUAUGAAUGUGUUGGAAUGUAUAAUCUUUAUGUAUAAAUGUGUUGGAAUGUAUAAUGUUUAUGUUGAUUGAUAUGAGUGAUACUUAUGAAUGUUUUGCUAUGCAUGAAAGGAUCCAUGUUUUUGAUAUGUGAACCAUGUUGGUUGUAACACUUAGUAUCACAUACUUUGUGUCAAAGUAUGCAUGUUGAAGCUCUGAGUUGGAGUAUAAAGGUAGGUCAGCGUAGACCAAGUGUUCCAGUGCUAGGAACGCAAAAAACUCAGAAGAAGUUGUAUGAAUUCCUUCUUCUUUAAAUAUUUGUCGAAUGGCUUAUGUAUGCCUUCUUAUAAUAGCAUUUCCUUCAGUACCUAGUCCUCCACUUUGAAAGAGUGAGGUUUGGCCCCAUAGUCAUAAUAGUCGAUGGUACGUUCACCCCUGGUUGUCUUGAUACGAACUUUUAUCCCUCUUGUUGUAAUGGGCUUGCUGAGAGUAAAAAUCAUUCCUCUUACCAAAAGACAGAUACGUUUGGUGACUUAGCGAGUAACUAAAUGAGGUAGGAGAUGAUGCAAUGGGUGUCUGAAUGACCAAUAUCUCCUCACUUGGUAGAACUUGACUUCCACUUCCCAUUUGUUGAUAGAGGUUAACCAUAUGAGGAUUCCCUUGGUAUGUCCUUGCUUCAGCGGAUGCGUGGUUGUAAGCAUGUGCCAUCACCUCAGAGUAAGUCUUCCAAGUGUUGGCAUUGAUCAUGUACUUGAAGAAACAAUCACGUAGGUCUGCCGUGAAGGCCUUGAGGGUGGUUUUGUCAUCUGCCUCAGCGCAGUGAGAAUACUUAUGGCUGAAGCGACCGGCAUACUCUCGUAGUGACUCAUCCGACUUCUGGCGAAUAGUGUACAAGUCAUCAGUUUAGAGCUUCGCUCUUCGUCGAUGUGCAUCUGAUAUGCCAUGGUGGACUCAAAGAGGUUAAGGUGUUCUCCAUUGAUGAAGCUUUUGUUUUGUCUUUGCUUGAAGGGGGCAUCGAUGAUUCUUCUUGUGAGAAGGCUAGGCCUGGGUUGGUUCUAGUCAGGUAUCUCGACCUGACGUUCGGCCUUCAACUUGUUUACUUCCUCAAUGAGCUAUAGGACAAAGGGUCAUAAGUGGAGUUAUGUACCACUGGAAUUCUUUCAUAAGUCUCCAUCGUCUUUUGGAAGUAAGAAAGUUUAAGCAUGGGCGUGUGGUUUUUUCUUGGACUCGCCGUACUGACUUCUAGGGUGAGUCUAUCGGAAUACAUUAGAGUCUCAAAGAGCUUCUCAUACUGCUCCUAGAGAACCUCAUUCUUCAUUGCUAUCUUGUUGUUCUGAGCUUCUAGCUCAUUGACUUUAGCUUGAAGAGCAACUCUCUUUCCUUCCUUCUUUCGUUGCUUCGCACUAAGUGCAAGAGGGGUGUCAUUCUGUGUGAUGUGGCUUCCUUCGCUCCCCAUGUUGGAAAGGAAUGUCUGGUCAAAAUAGAGUGUACGAAUGGUGGAAACCAGCUUGGCAAAGCUGAAGAGAGUGGGAAUAAGUGUCGUUCCCAUAGAUGGUGCCAAAUGUUGAUGCACAAAAUCAGUAAGGACUUUGGUACAACAGAAAGUGUUAAGUUUGUGACCUUCGCUAGAUUGCUCCGAUCACUAGUGUGGAUAAAUAUGUAAAUGGAUAGAGACAUGGAAGCAAACACAAGAUGUACGUGGUUCACCCAGAUUGGCUACGUCCACGGAGUAGAGGAGUUCUCAUUAAAACAAGUACAUAGGUUCAAGCUCUCCUUUAGUGAGUACAAGUGAAUGAUUUAGUACAAAUGACAUUAGGAAAUAUUGUGAUAGAAUGAUCUCUAUUUAUAGAAGAGAGUUUCUAGUUUCAUUCUAAAAUUGACACGUGCCGUGUUGUGAUUGGCUUCUGAUGUUAACACGUGUCGCACUAUGAUUGGCUUUUGAUGUCGACACGUGUCGCGCUGUGAUUGGCCUCCUGGUUGGAGGGAAACUCUUCUGGGUCCUUGACGGUAUAACGUUGACCGGUACUCAGUAGUUUCGGGAUUAGUCAAGUAUGGUACAAACAGCUUAUAAAUUCAAUCAAAAGAAAAACAAAUUUCCAAUUAAUAUGUGCCAACAAUUAAGUUAAUUUGUCAAUUUUUUUUCUUUAUAUGUACAAUGAAAUACCUCAAAGAAGACAAUGUUUUUGUAGUUAGUUGUGUUAUUCCAUCCCAUGAAGACAUAUUCAUGAAUCCGUUUCAAUCUAGACUUGAAUUAUCGUUCAUGAAUUUAUGACUUUUGACAUCAGAAUAUUGUUUUCAUAACGAUGUGAUGGCCUUGGUUAACAAAAUUAAGUAGAAUGGGUGGCCAAUAUUCUAAUGGAUAAGGUGUUGGGUUUCCACUCAUGCAUCUCAGGUUCGAAACUCCUUCUUCUCCUAAAUUAUUGUAAUAGUUUUGAAUCCUUAUCUCUUCCCUUAAAAAUAAUAAUUUAAAAAAAAAUCCUUAUUCCUGCAUAGUUCUCUUCUUCUUGUUUGAUUGUUAAUUGCACACCAACAGUUCUGGUGAUUAAUCAUGAAAGAAAAAUAGUGGGAAUCUUUAAUCGAAUAGGGAAAAAUGAUUGAUAUGUUGGAACUUGUUAGGGUGUGGGGUAGACAGAAGUUUGUAGUGGAUGGCGGAGAAAAGCUGGAAUCUGUCCCAAAAAUGAGAGAGUGAGAGAUACGGAUGGAGAUUUUGAUGGCUUGACUUCCGAUCUUGUAGUUUUCAGCACCAGCAUGCAACAUUUUAAUUUUUAAUUUUUUUUUUGUAUAAGAGUUCGUACUUUCUAAUUGGCAUGGCUUAAUUAUUAUUAUUUUAAUUUUUCAUCCAUAUGCCUAAUUUCCCCACUUUGAUAGUGCACCAUUGAAAAAGAUGAAAAGGGUGGUUAAAAGCAUCAGUUCACAUCAUCAUCUGAAGUUUCUAAUCUGAAUCUAUGGCAAAAAUCUUAGCGACCCAUUACACCAAUAUUAUAUCUCUAGGAAUUCAUGUGGAUUAUGCGCAACCGUCCUUUGUUAAAUAACAAAAUUUGCACUGAUAUAGUGUUGACUAUUGAUAAUAACAUGUUGAUAAGUUGUGUUGUUGACAAUUUAUAUAUUAAUAUUAUAUGUUAUUUAUCUACAACUUAUCUUUUAAUAAAGAACGAACAUCUUGUCUAGAGAAAAACUGACUAUAUGCAUGUCAUUAUAUAUAUAUAUAUAUAUAAUAAAGUUACUUGUAUAGUUUCUAAGAUGAUUCCAAACCCUAGAAUAUAUAUGUGUGUAUAUAUGUAUGUUAAUGUAAUGUAGUUGGAACGGAGUCAAUGUUUGGUUAUAUUUUCCUAAUAUUAUGUAAUAAAGAACGAACAUCUUGUCUAGUGCUUAGAUGAUUAAUCAUCGAGGAACUAUCCAAACAACUACAUAAGGAUGAAUUUUUCUUUGAAUUCACACUCUUGGGUAGUCUUCAUGUGCUUAUUUUCUGGUUGCACAUGGAUGUCACCUUUGCAAAUCACCACCCUUUUUAAUGCAACAUGGUACACUAAGAAGGACACUACUCUAAAAACGCAUUUUAAAACCAUUUCGUGUUUAGAGUUAAUUAACUUUAUUUUUAGCAUAGUUUAGUAGUUAUCUCUUUGAUUAAGAUGGAUUAUUGCUCACUGUGUUUCAUAUAUAUAGAUAACUAUUUGAAAACAUAUUGAACUUACCUUUGAAAUAUGAGAAGAAUUUUCAUGCAACUAGGAUGUUGUGGGAACAUAAAUGUCAACUAAUAGGAACACAUGCACCACGCAUACAACUUAUCAAAUAUGACUACUCUACCCUUGACGGAAUACACAAACCAUUAGUCAAAUCCUAACGGGCUAAUGGGCCACAUACUCUAGGAAGGUCCUAGAAGCCCACAAUCAACAUGCCUCCAGACCCAAUUCAUUACAACGGUCCAAGUCGAUCGCCACUGAACCUACUCAUAUCACCUUGAUAUGUAAUGGGCUUGCUUAUCAGUCUCUUAGAAUGGCAACACUCUCCAAAGAAUAUUUAGGGAUCUUAUAAAAAUAUUUCUCCAUCAAUGUGCAUACUAAAUAACUUUUUGCUAACAGGUUCAAUGAACCUGGACGCUAGGGUUAACUUUCAAUUUUCUAUAAAUACCUUAGAUCAACCACUUGAUUCCAAUAUAAAAAAUCUCACCACACUCUUAUUACUUUCUAUAGUCUUUCUGAUUUAGGAAACGGAGAUCCUUUGGCUAACAUCGGUGUUAGUCUAACUCUGUUUAUCCCUUUUCUUGUGUGUAGGUUUCGUCAAUUAAAUCUGAGGUGGAAAUUUGCUCCCAUAUAUACAACAAUAGAAAUAUCCUUUAACUAAUCAUGCAAUGGCAUGUGAAUUUUGUACAAUGCGUGAUUGCCUUAUGGUAACUUCACAGUAUCAUCAGGAUGUAGAUAAGUUCCCUCCUAUACCUUGAUUUCCUCCAUUGUGAGGAGUUACUUUGAAACCUCUCCAAUUUUCCUAGUUCUCAAUAAAUCAGAAAUUGUUUUCAUAUACACACAACUGCCUUUUUGCAACAAGUUCACAUUAGUAGACAAGGCAAGUUGGUGAUUCCUUGGAACAAAGCCUAUGUUCAUUCUGAAUCAGAGUUUUGGUUUGAUCAAUUUACAAACUUCGAACAUUCCAACUCUUUUAUUAAUUUCUAAACUUAUUGAAACAAGAAUUUGAAUCGUUACAAGAAAUAGUGCAUACAAUAGUAUACAAAUGUGAAACCAAUUUGGUAUUUUGAGCAAAGAUGGUGAGCCAGCUUAUGCAGCCAACAAAAUCGUAUCAUGAUUUUGGAUAGGAGCAUCAUCACAGCAGUUGCCGAUAUAAUCGAAAUCAUGCAUCAAAACCAUUAAAUUAGCAAUUGUGGAGCCAAAAAUAAUUACAAGGCGACACGUGGAUUUUUGGUAAAAAAGACAAAGUUACCCCUGAGACACACCAGUUGUCCUACGCGCGAGCAGUAUACAAUCAUUCUUUAAUCAAACCAAGAGUGUCCAAAAAAGGUAACCAAUUCUAAAUUAUCUCAUCCAUCCUCAUCUUAGGUAAUUACUUCAUAACCUACAAAUUAUUUCAUAUAAAUGGAGAUUAAUUGGCUAAUUAAUGGAUUAAUUCCUAAUUAAUCCAUUAAUCACCAAUUAAAUCACAAAUUUUCACACAAAAAAACCCUCUAAGGGCCGGCCACCUCCAUUCCCUAUAUAUAUCACCCUAUUUUUUCUAAAAAAGGAGGUCCACACUCUUGCAAAACUCCCAAAAAACUCUCCAAAUACUUUUCUCUCUAAAUUCUAACUUUGGCAUCGGAGGUUCUUCAGCCAAAGCCCCCCCCCAUUUAUCGUGGGCGCGUGAGGCUCUUGGCCUUGACCUAAGGUGUUAAUUGUUUUAUAGGUGCAAUUUUGUCCAAGAAGAAGAAGGCGAAAAUUUGCAUCCACAAAUUUGUGCUUUCAUUGAGAGUUGAGUCUCACACUUGUAGAAGACUCUCGCAUCCAAGGUUUUCUAUUUUCUUGUCCAUUGUAGAUUUUUCGUACGUUCUUAUUAUUAGAAUUUUUUUUAUUUGCAAAAAUUCUUUGAUAAAACGUAAAAGAGAAGUACAAUGGUUAGAAAUUUAGAAAAUUCAACAAAUCAAAAUUUUUACAUUCAAUAGAUGGGACCAUGACGAUCCACAAGACUAAAUGUGAUCUUAGGGGGAGCGGCACGACCACCACAAGGUUCCACCACGGGAACCACCGCGAUGGCUACUACGAUAGCCAUAUGUGGCGAGGUCCAUGGUGUCACCACUACCACGACCUGAGAUGUGCCACCAAACCAAGCCCAACGCGAGCCCAAUGCGUUGCCAAGCUGACCCCAAACCUCACACUCGCGUGCAUCACGCACCGAGCAACCCACUCUUACGGCCCAGCCUGCUCCCGCCGAGCAACCCACUCCCGUGGCCCAGCCUACUCCCACAACCCAACCUGCUCCCGCUAAGUAACCUACUCCCGUGGCCCAACUUACUCCCAUGGCCCAACCUGCUCCCAUUGAGUAACCCACUCUCGUGGCCCAGCCUGGUCCCGCAGUCCAGUCUGCUCCCGGGCUCAGCCCACUCCCGUGGCCCAACCUACUCUCGCGGCCCAACCUGCUCCCGCUGAGUAGCCCACUUUUGUGGCCCAAUCUGCUCUCGCGGCUCAGCCUAUUCCCGUGGCCCAGCCUGCUCCUGUGGCAUUCCAAGCAACCCAAAUCGGCUCAAAACUAUCUCAACCAUCUGAACCAACCAUCAAGCCGGGGGUAUUUUUACCAUAUUUCUCCACAGAUUUGACAUUUCUCAACUCAAAUCUUAUGCCUGGAGUCUACCAUACUUCCACUGCUCAAGGAGGCACAUUCUUUCCAAAGCUUUUCCAAUCUAAAUGGUGAACAACACUUGUUUCGACAAGUUAUAGAGUUGGCGAGCGCCCUUGCACAACAGAGGACCUUGGUGAAUCAACUUUUGCAACGCACCGAGAUCCAACGUGCCUCAUUUAGGGUUUUGGGUUCCUGCAGCCCAGUCUACUCCCGUGGCUCAGCCCACUCCCAUGGCCCAGCCUGCUCCCGCUGAGUAGCUCACUCUUGCGGCCUAGCCUGCUCCCGCGGCUUAGCCUACUCCUGUGGCCCAGCCUGCUUCUGCAGCAUUCCAAGCAGCCCAAAACGACCCAAAACUAUCUCAACCAUCCAAACCAACCAUCGAGCCGGGGGUAUUUUUACCAUAUUUCUCCACAGAUUUAACAUUUCUCAACUCAAAUCUCAUGCCUGGAGUCUACCAUACUUCCACUGCUCAAUGAGGCACAUUCCUUCCAAAGCUCUUCCAAUCUAAAUGGUGAAUAACACUUGUCUCAAUAAGUCAUAGAGUUGACGAGCGUCCUUGCACAACAGAGGACCUUGGUGAAUCAACUUUUACAACGCACCGAGAUCCAACGUGCCUCGGACAAGGUAUCCUAAAGUAAGACAAGGGCAGACGAAACUUUCCAGCAGUGUCCCGGUAAGCAGCCACUCGACUAGCCACUAGCCAAAUGUUCGGGUAGUGUACAUUCCCGAUUAGGCCCCCGAGAUAGCAUAUACUCCCGUCUUAGAUCACAGGGGAGUGUGCACUCUCGACUAGGGUCAAGGAUAAGUAUACGCUCACGGUUAGGGCCACAUUCUGAUAAUUAACAUAAGCAACCUUUCAGGCAAAAGUGUUCAUUUCCGAUAAGGCCCGCAAGGAGUAUCAUCCACCUCACAUCGGAGUAGGCAGCACAACAGACAAAGAUAAGUAGUCAUUCAAUCCGGCUCAAGUUCAACGAGCAGCCUGCAAGUUACUCGCUCUCUUGCUAGCACCAAUCUCAGCCGAGGCAUAGACGAGCCGAACAUAUGGAAUAGCAGCCUAGACCAGUAGGUCACGACAAGAGGCAGCCGAAGGCUCUGCCACCCCCCAACAAAGGCAAAUUCAGGAAGAAGUAGAAAUACUCUUGAACAAGCAAGUGCGCGAUUUCCCGCGCAACGAAGCUAUUUACAAGGCCCUUCGAUGAGACAUGACCAACAUAAGCGAGUCAUCUUUCAAUGACAAGAUCGAGCAGACAGGACUACCCCACAUAAAUUGUCGGAUAUAAAGACUUCUUCUGUUCUGACAAAACCCAGCAGCUCAGCUUAAUGGCACGCCGGGGGCAGACGAGUACCAGAAGGACACAUCAACCCAACUACCAAGAACUGGGGGCAGCCUUAUUCUCAACACUCCAGACAAUUCCUCUUUCUGCACACAACCUGGCCCAAGCCAACCCCAUCUCUGCUUUCACAACCAUGCCUGCCUACUCCACGACUCCCGGCAACCAUUGAUCUUGCACCAUGGCUCACAGCCAUGCCGACCUUGCCAUGUGGCUUGUGCCAACCAAGCCUCAAAAGGGCACACGACGAAACACCUAAUGAUGGCACAAUAAUUAUGGGAGCAGCUCACUACGCUUGCAUCCUUACGCGAGGUCCACAAGCAGUUCGAAUUCUCAAGCAGAUCGCCAAACAUGACCUCGCAGGCUAAGGAUUAUUUCGGUUGUCCCAGCAGUCUAGCUUUCCUCAGCUGCACUCACGACAAUGACUUCCGUACUCUCCAGUGCGAGAAGAUAAACUAAUUGCUCUCUAGUGCAAGAGGGUAAACUAAUUCCCCGACACCCAAAAGGGUCUGCUUUCCAGUGUAAGAGGAUAAAAUAAUUGCUCUCUAGUGUGAUAGGGUAAACCAAUUCCUCAACACCCAUAUGAGUUAGCUCUCCAGUGCGAGAGGAUAAACUAAUUGUUUUCCAGUGCGAGAGGGGAAACCAAUUCCUCGACACCCAUAUAGGUUUGCUCUCCAGUGCAAGAGGAUAAACUAAUUGCUCUCUAGUGCAAGAUGGUAAACCAAUUCCUCGACACCCAUAUGGGUUUGCUCUCCAGUGCGAGAGGAUAAACUAAUUGCUCUCAAGUACGAGAGGGUAACCAAUUCCCCGACACCCAAAAGGGUCUGCUCUUUAAUGCGAGAGGAUAAACUAAUUGCUCUUCAGUGCAAGAGGGUAAACCAAUUCCCUGACACCCAUAUGGGUUUGCUCUCUAGUGCGAGAGAAUAAACUAAUUGCUCUCCAGUGCAAGAAGGUAAACUAAUUACUCUUCAGUGCGAUAUAGUAAACUAAAUCCCUGACACCCAUCUGGGUAAGCUCUCCAGUGUGGGAAGACCACAUAGCUUAAAAGAUCGAAUGUUUGAAGAUCAACUAGGCAGCAAAUGGUUAUGGGGCAUCAGCCACUUUUGCACUUAACAGUUCACUCAUUCGACACUUCAUCUUUAGCAGCUCUGAUCUUGGCAACUUUAUCCUUGACUGCUCCAUCUACGGCAACUAAGAAAUCAAACUCAAGCAGUUUUCUUAUUUUCGGCAAGCAGCCCAGACAUGGCAGCCCAAACCGUUGCACAUACCAUGCCACUUCCUCGGCCCAUGUCGAGUUAAUCCUUGGCUUCAAUCAAGCCGAGCAACACAAGCAAUAGCCCCUGCCACACCACCUCAUUAGCCCAUGAUAAGCCGACUCCUAGCCCCUGCCAACCGACGUGCCGUACCACCCCGAUGGAUGCCCCGUGGCAGCACCUCCCAAGAAAAAGACAAAGAUAAUUAAGUUUUUCUUACAUCGGUGCGACGUAAAGAAGACAAAGAAAUCAAUGGAAUACGGUUCUUUGCACGGGCAAGCAAAGAAUAGUGCUACAAGAGGGGGAACAAAUAUCUUCUAGCUUUCUCUCUUUCUUGUAGGGAUAAAUAAUUGCCCUCCGAAGUUGAUUUAAACCCCUACUUAAGGCAUGCUUAAAUAGGCCUUGGAGGAGAAUUAUUUCCUUUUCCUAAAAGAAUCUAAUUCCAAGUUCAAUAGAGAAUCUGCAUCAAAGUCGGAAGUCUCUACAUUUGCUGCCUUUUCCUGCGAGCAACCCAGCAUAUGUGGGGGCAUUUGUGGAGCCAAAUAUAAUCACAAGGCGACACAUGGAUUUUUGGUAAAAAGGACAAAGUUACCCCUGAGACACACCGGUUGUCCUAUGCGCGAUCAGUGGACAAUCAUUCUUUAAUCAAGCCAAAAGUGUCCAAAAAAGGUAAUUAAUUCCAAAUUAUCUCAUCCAUCCUCAUCUUAGGUAAUUACUUCAUAACCUACAAAUUAUUCCAUAUAAAUGGAGAUUAAUUGGCUAAUUAAUAGAUUAAUUCCUAAUUAUUCAUUAAUCACCAAUUAAAUCACCCAUUUUCACACAAAAAACCUCUAAGGGCCGGCCACCUCCAUUCCCUAUAUAUAUGACCCUAUUUUUUUCUAGAAAAGGAGGUCCACAUUCUUGCAAAACUCCCAAAAAACUCUCCAAAUAUUUUUCUCUCUAAAUUCUAACUUUGGCAUCGAAGGUUCUUCGGCCAAAGCCCCUCCCCAUUCAUCGUGGGUGCGUGAGGCUCUUGGCCUUGACCUAACGUGUUAAUUGUUUUGUAGGUGCAAUUUUGUCCAAGAAGAAUAAUACGGAAAUUUGCAUCCACAGCAACAACAUCCAUCUUUCUUAUUUCCUCCAUCAAAACUACCAAUACGUAAUAUAUCUCUGUGUAGUGGGGAUGUGAGCGAUCUUCGGCUUUGAAAGAAAACACCUCAUUCUUUAUUUAUAUCCAACCCCAGCCGGGGACUCUUCUCACACCCUUUUCCCUCAAGCCUCUUUACGCUAGCUUUCUCACCCCAACUUUUGAGAUGCCCAUACAUGUUGGAGAAAAGAACGUAAGUGUAGUGCUCUUCCGGUUCUAAGUCUAGCAUAUGGCUUGCAAUUUGAAUAGCUAAUUCAAUAUUCCCACAAGCCCUACAGGCACCAAGUAAUGUCUUCAAAACCAUUGUGUCGGGUUUAAAUGGCAUUGCCUUCAAUCAGGUCUUUUGCCUCAUCUAGACGCCCAGCUCACCCGUAUAGAUUUACUGCGCACGCAUAAUGCUCCAUUCGCGGGGUUAUUCCAUAAUCAGAUUCCAUAGAUUUUAGGAAUUUGCUGCCUUAUUCUACCAAACCCAUGUGGAUACAAGCAGUUAGUACUGCAACAAAGGUUAUAUGAUCUAGUUUCACCUUUUCCUUCUUCAUUUGGAAGAAGAGGUCGAGUGGAACAUAUCCCUACCCAUGCUGUGCAUAUCAGAAAAUGAUUGAGUUCCAAAUGAUUCAGCUGUAUCUCAAUGAUCCCACACUUUGUGUACAUAAAUAUCAAAGAACUAGCGACAAAUUCAUUGGACUCGAGCCCUGAUUUAUUUGCCAAUGCAUGAACCUGUUGACCCAGUUGGAGGGUUUCUAAAUCCUAACAUGACCUAAGGACAGCUAAGAGAGCAUAAUGAUCAAUCUCUACCUCUGAAUAUCUCAUAUCCCCAAAGAGUUUCAAGGCAUCUUCAUUUAAACCUAUUUGUGAGAAUCCAGUCAAAUUCCCUCUCUGUUCCACCAAUGCAGGACAAACUCAGAACAUAUGAUUGACUAAUUGACCAAAUAUAUUGUAUUGAUCAACCAGCUACUCACAUCUCGUAACUAUCCACCGAUUCGUUUCUAGCAACUAUGAUCUUAUUUAAAAAUGAAAGAGAAUAACAUAAACUCAAGAUAACAGUCAUUUCAAUUUCCUCUCUGCACUCUGAUCACUUAAAACAACAUGUAUUGGUCUUCUAUGUUAAUUGACAGCACAAACAAUAUAAGGUUUUACAAAUGUAUGUCAAAAACAAGUUUAAACAUUGAGCAACGCUUCCAAAGUAGUACCAUUUGGCUAUAAUUGCCUUUCAAUUUUUGUCCUCCAACCAACAAAACUGUCACCAGAUUGCAAGUGUUCUCAUUCCUUCAUGCAUUAUUCGUCGGACAAGAGGCUCGAAUUUCGCCUUCAUCACCUGUGUUCACGCCGAUGCUAGCAAGUUUCAAGAACUACUCAGUCCAAAUCCGAUUGAAACAGCCCUUUGUGUGCUAAAAGAUUAUGGUAGUACUAAUUAUUAAAGGCAAACGAUGUUUUAGGCUCGGGUGUUAACACAGCCACCUCCCAUGAAUUUGUCCUCGGUGGCUUUGUUGCCUUAUGUGACCUUCUUGUUGGUGGGUCAUAUUUCACUAGCUUUUUGUGAUUUGUGGUUGUUGUUCCGAUCUAUGUGGUGCUUUGUGGAGGUUGUGGAGUUGUUACUUCCAUCAUUUUCGUGCAUUUGGUUGAUUGUUUGGAUUUCUCGGCGAAGCUUUGCUUCUGUGGCAUCAGUUCAAGUAGGAUUGUAAGGUCUUUGUUUGGUUUUUCUAUUUCUGGGCUCAAAACUUUGUUGGGCUUUUUAAUCGAAAGACCAAUAGUUAUGGAUUUUUUAUCGAGAGAUUAUUGCUCUAGUUAAAUUAAAAUUAAGAGACCAUUACUAUAAUUUUCUCUGCAAUUAAUGUAUGGUAGUCUUUUGCAAACAGAGACAGACUUGGAGAAGAUAUUCAUGGGAUUUGGAUCCUCUCCGGAUCCACUUGAUCUGAGCCUACGGAUCAAGUGAUCCAGGCCAUCAAAAUUUUGAUCCAACGACUAUAAACAAGCAGCCCUUCUAAAGUUAUAAUAAUUGUAGCUGUUAGAUCAAAUUUGGACGGCUGAAUCACUUGAUUUGCAGGCUCAAAUCCUUUGGAUCUGGAGAGGACCCAAAUCCAUAUUCAUGGCCAAGGGAAAGCAAUUCCUGACAAAUAUCAUUGACCAAGUUUUUCAAUCUAGAAACUACAGAGUACGCAGCUACGUAAUGCUAAAUUUCUUGGGGCUACGCUUAUUUCCUGGUUGCACAUAUAGAAGUCAAUACUAAUUAAGUCUGCUGCUAGUACUAUGGUCUAGUGAUAUUCCUUUUCACUUAUAAAUGAAAGGUAUUAUCUUCAAUUCUAGCAAAAGGCGAUUUAAACCACCUUAUUGCUAGCCUAUUGUGAAGCGUAGCCUAUUCCCCCACUACCUUAGUGUAGAUAAUAUCGUUCGUUUAAAAAAAUGCAAAUUAACUCAUCACCUCAAUUUCAAAAUCAAUAAUAUUUAUGGCAACGACUUGUACUAUAAACAUCUUACUAGUAAACACUUGAACCCCAUGAUAUACACCAUAUGUAUUCUAUGUCGCAUAAUUGGUAUUAAAAUGUUAAGAUAUAGUUGUCGCAAGUAGGCCAAAAGGAGAGACUGUUUAGUGUGUUUGGAACACGAUAUUAAACAUCACAUAUCAUAGAUAAUUGGAGAGACAAUUGAAAAAAAUAAUAAUAAUCUUCAUUUGUAUAAUAACAUGUGGCGUAUCACUUCAUGUUCAAAUACACUGAAAAAUCUCUUGACGAAAACACUGCUUGUGUCGAAUGCAAAGACUUGUGCAUUUAUUGCACUUGACUAGCUCAGACUAAACUAGCUUCAGGGACUAAACUAGACUAGCUUGGCUUGGACUAAGCAAUACUAAAAUUGUGAAGCGUUUAGUGCAGUGUUAGAUUAAGUCAAUUUAUUUUUAAAUUAAUUAUAAAGACUAAAUUUAUUUUUAAAUUAAUUAUAAAAACUAAAUUUCACAUUCUGAUCUGAAUAAUUAAAUUUAGACCUCCUCCAAAUUCUUUUUUCUUUUAUUUUUUUAAUUGAUGAAGUUCAAUAUAAUCAUGGUAAUUCUAAUAUAUUACAAAUAAUAAUAAUAAUAAUUAAGUUCAUCAAUUUCCCUUCUUCAUGCCUCUCCAUCUCUGUUCAUCUGCCAUAGCCUUGCUAAUCCUAUCAUCAUCCUAAUUAUGAAAACAAAUAGUUGCAGACCUGUUUUCUCCCAACAGUCUGCAGAUCUGAAGCAAAACACGACGCCUACCCAAUUCCCAUAUCAAUCCAAGAGGGAGAGAGAGAGAGAGAGAGAGAGGAUACUUGUUAGUGAGAGAAGGCAGCAUAGUUUCGUGUGGGACUAAUUUAGACGACUUGGUGAGGCCCGAAGUCCACACGAGUUCGGGCUAAUCUCAUUUGACUUAGUCCAUAGUCAUACCAAAUAUGGUAUAUUAGUACUAGCUAAUUCAAUCCUAGCUAAGGAUGUAAAACGAACAAGGUCGUAAUGGACAUGAAUGUAGUGGAUGAAAAUUCUGAUUCAUUUGUGGUAUUGAAUUAUCGAUUUCACUUAUGUGCGGGGUUCUAACAGUUUAAAAAUCGAAGACAAGUUUUUAAUUUUCAAUCCAAAAACUACCGGAACCAUACUUUCUUUUCAAUUUUUUGAUGCUUUUAGAAUACGUAUUAUCUCGAAAUAUCUUAGAAAAUAAUUUAGGUUCCUACAUUUUACAAGUUUGACUCAGUCUAUGUAGUAUGUUUAUAACAAGGAAGAAAAUAGAAUUUCUGCAUUUAACAAAUUUGACUCAGUCUAAUAGGCAAAUUUAAAGAUACUUGAAUUGGUUCGGCAUCAACUGUCGCAAGCGUGAAGUUUGGUUUCUCGCUUAUGUGCUAUAUGGAUAUGAUCAUGGGAUUGCCUGUCUUGUCACUGUUUCAAUAUAGAUGGAUCCAAAAAUGGUUCACUGAAUGAGAGCUUAUUAAUCAAGAACACAUUAAUAGAGUAUUCAUGUAUUUUUCAUUCCUAACUUGCACUACAAGAAACUGCUUUUUAAUGACAAAAUUUAUGUCAUUUAAAACAAAAAUGUCAUUAAAAGAUCUUACCCAUGAUGGUUUUUUUUUUUUUUCAAAUGAUCUCACUCUCUCUCAUGACAUGUAUUUUAAAAAGCGUCAAGGGUAAGAUCCUUUAAUGACGUUUUUUUUCCUAAACGACAGAAGUUUUACGUUAUUAAAAGGCAAUUUUCUUGUAGUGUAAGUGAGAGCACCUUUAAGAAUUUAACCCCAUUUUCAUGAAAAAUCAAGCUAAUUUUUGUCUUUUUCUCUAUUUUUUUCUUUACUUGUUGCAUUGAUAAUUUAAUACUCAUUCAUGUUAACAAUAAUAUGCAACUCAAUAUGAUUUUAAACAUGAGAUCGGAAGUGAGUAAACAAAGAAGGGGGAGGAAAACUUAAUAACUCAACUAGAAUUUGUAAAUAUUUCACAAGAUUAAUAUAUACACUAAAUUUUCAACUUGGAAAAGAGUGAGAGAGGGUAUGUGCCCUCCCUCUCCUGACUUAUACUUUCUCAAGCUCUAAACACUUGACCAUAUUCUGAGUACACCUCAAAAUUAUUCUUGACAUACAUACUCAAUUACUUAAUAUCUUUUUUUGGUUGGGAAACCAAUGUUUUAUUUUUAAUUUACUAGCUGUAUUACUAACACAUAACCUAUCCACUUUGUUUAGUUGUAUCAGUAUUACAUUUGUAUCUAUUGGUUCACCUAAUGAAUCAUUGGCAACCAGCAGGGGCAAAUCCAACCUUUCCACCAGCAACGUCAUACACUACCUGCAACCUCUUCUGUUGAACGUUCCCAAUAAUCCCAACACUCCUAUCAUCUUUGUUUCCGGCAAACGCCAAGCAAAACUGCGAAGCACUCUGCUGAACUAAUAUUCCUGUUGCGUCCACGUCUACCGUAACCCCAUUGCCAAACACAAACCCUAUCUUUGGAAAGGUUAUCGUUUUGAAUCCAUUGAAAUCGUAACACGUGUCCAGCAGGGAAGAAAUCGACCUAGCAGUUGGGUACCUCUUCAUCGCUUCUCGAAAUGCGUCCCGCAGCGCUGUGUACGCAGUGGCUGGGAGGCGCGUGAUCACCGUCCCCGAGUCGAUAAUUGUUCCCGAAGUCGAAAAUACCGAAGCCGAAAUUGGCAGUUGACUCCCACCGAUGUUGAUACCGACCAGUCCGAGGCCGUAAUACGACUCGCCUUGAGAUAAUGUGGUGAGCGGCACGAACUUGACGGCGUUAUAACCUGAACGUCCGUUGUCGGAGUGGCCUAAGCUGAGGUAACCGGUGGAGCUUGAAGUGGAAGGGAGGCAGUAGGAGAAGAAUCUCUUGUACUUCUGAGCGGUUUGUUCAACAAGGGAGAUCUUGCUUCGACCGAGACCGAGCAAACCGGCGAUGCCCCGAAAUAAGCCUUGGUUAUUCUGGCCGCAGCCGAAGACGAAACCAGUAAAAACAUCUGUUGAAGUCAAAGUUAACUUCUCGCUGGCAAAGAAGCCGAUUGUGAAGGAGCGGUCUCCAUACUGUUCGCCGUAAACACAGGUGGAGGCGGAACAACCGCUAGCGACACCGGAGGCUGCAAGUUGAGAACACGCGGGGGAGUUGCAGGAGAUGUUGGAGUAAGAGGUAGAGAGAGAAGGGUCGAAGAUGGGAUCUUUCUGUUGGUAACAAGAUACAGAACAUGGUCGGCACUGUGUCCAAGUGAGACUGCUGCCGGUGUCGAAUACAAGCGAAAGUUGCUUCUGGGGAGAGCCCAAGCCGACACUGACGAUGUAGUUUCCAGAACCAAGUACGCUGCCGGACUGGGCGGGAAUCACUGUGGCGUCAGAAUGUGCAAGUAGGUCGGGGAUCCUGUACUUUUUGUUUGGGUAGUUGAAAUGGGAGUGGAUUGAGUUGACUCGGGCUUCGUCUUGGUUAAGGAUUUGUGUGAGAUAUUCAUCUUGAUCGGCAGGGUUACUGUUUGAUUUGGAUUGGUGGACUUGGUUGCAUGGGCCAUGCUUGUGGACCACUUUCAGUACGGAUGCCGCCUUAUUGUCAUG